Molecule: long non-coding RNA, 64762 nt
Filed under: Coffea arabica (coffee)
Lineage: Eukaryota; Viridiplantae; Streptophyta; Magnoliopsida; Gentianales; Rubiaceae
Description: long non-coding RNA (CARA_LNC001672)
Source: RNAcentral
UUUUUUUUUUUUUUUUUUUUGCAUUUUUCUGCACUUUCCUCCAUUUUUUUGCCUUGUGAAAAAUUUAACGGAUUUUGUAGAAAAAUAAUUGAUUACUCACAAAAUUUGAAUAACUGCUAUUAAUUGUCACUAGUUACUCAUGUUCUCUCUUUAUAUUUUUCUCGAUAACAGAUUACGUAUAAAGAAAAAUAAAAGGAAGUAAAUAUUAAUUUGCGAUAUACUAGAAAGCCAAGUUAUUGAGAAUCUGUAACGCAUUCAAUUUGGGACACGACUCACUAGAACAUGAAUACUGCAAAAAAAAAAAGAACACUCUUGUUAACUUUGCUGAGCUUGGGUUUUAUCCCAAUAACAGUUGAUGGAAUAAAAUUCAAGUCCAACAAACUUAUGAUUAUUAUUGUUGCCUUUUCUUACAAAAAAAAAAAAAAGAAUAUUGCAAGGAUUGAUUUUGCUAUAAAAAUAAAACAAAAAAAAAGAAUAUCGAAGACAUUUGACUCAAUCUUUUAUCUUUGUUAUUUUUAGACAUGAACAAUCCAGGGCCCCAAUAUGACCACACGAGUAUCCACUAUCCAGUUCAGGUAACAAAAAAUCUGUAUUAGUGGGCAUUGGCCUGCUCUAAUCUAUCGGCAGAAGCGUGCUAUUUUUAGAUGUCUCGGCCCAGCAAUGAGGAGGCUAACACGCUACCCACCAUUGCAGCUUAGGACUUAAAGACGUAAAAGUAAAACAGAGGCUCAGAUUAACCAACCUAUAUAGCAAUUCAAGAGUAUAAACUGUCUGGUUCACUUAUCAAAGGACUAGCAUCAAAUGACAAACUAAAGUUAAGUUGCUUAGAACUAGGGCCGUAAAUGAGCCGAGUCGAGUCGAGUUUUGGCCUAAUCGAGUCGAGUCUUGACUUAGUUUUAUUAAACUCGAACUCGAGUUCGAACUCGACGAGUUGACAAUUUAAAACUCGAGCUCGAAAAAAUUAAAAAUAAUUAUUUAAAAAAAAAUAAAAAAAAUAUUUUUCUUAAUAAAUAAUAAAAUAUCAAGGAUAUAUAUGUAAUUUUACUAUUAUAUAUAUUUAUAUAUACACACACACACACACUUGAGCUCGUGAGCCGGCUCGCAAGUAACGAGUUUAAUAUUUUGAGCUCGAGUUCGAUCUCGAAUUUGACUCGAGCUCGAGCUUGAUAUUGAUUGAGCUCGAAUCGAACUUGACUUGAGCCGCUCGUGAGCGGUUCGAUUCGUUUGCAGCCCUACUUAGAACAUGCACUAAAGAAAGCUUAAUUUUUGUAUUUGUCCAGAAACAGAGCACUCCAAAGUAAAGUGUAGACUGGCCUGUCAAAGCAUUCUAGUAAAACAGUAUGAACCAGGCAACACAUACUCUAUAAUCUAGUCUAGUAACAGGAUAAUGAUUUUCAAGCCUGUUACAGAAAUGUAUUUCAAGAUUCAAUGAACUCUAAUGAAACCAGGUGUCUUGGUACUGUAUGUCUUAAUUCUGACCAUUGCGUACUUGUAAUGACCAUUCCCUUUAGCAUCACAGCCUAGCUGAGAAGGCAUGUAGUGGGAUGUUAUGGCUCAACUCCAUUCACUCAAGAUUGAGGAGAAAAUCCACACAAGCCCUACUUAAUUACCUAAAUUUGGCUUGGACUCAUGAUUAGCAAUCUCGGCCUUGUUCGAUACGACUCAGCUGAGUCACAGAAUGGAGGGGACCGUUAUGAUACCGAUCUCCGAAUCAUGGAUAAUUUUAUAUCUCCGACGACUCGCUCUGAUUCGACUAAUAUUUGCCGAUUUGAAUCCGUGAUGCAUGGAAUCGGUUAAAAUAUCUGAGUCCACUCGAAGUCAAUUCAGAUAUUUUUUCAGAUUGUGCCUUUUAUGAUAUUUUCUAUUUUUAAUAAUUUUUUCAAAACUUUUGAAAUUUUUUAUGUGCUAUAAUGUGUGUAUCACUUGAUAUCCAAUUGAUAUGCCGUGACGAAUGUGGAACAACUACUAUCGUGACGUGAUCGCGAUCCACCAUGGUGAACCAUGCUUGGACUAGUAUUUUGCAAGUAAUUAUUUAUUUCCAAAAAUGUCAAAUAUCAUAAAUCUAGUAGUUUGCAAAAGUUGGAUCAAUUUCACUAUCUCAAUAAUGACCGACUCUCCUCCAAGGAAAAAAUUCAUUAAGACCAAUGCACAGAAGCCCAGAAAAACAAGAAAGAAACAGGAACUGAAAAGAUAGGAACCAAAACUCAAUAACAGCAUGCAUCCACAAAUAGUGGUCGAAUAAUAUCCAUAGCACCACUUCUUUUUAACAUCAAAUCCUCAGCAAAAAUAUCAAUAGAAGUCAGGCAUCAUUAGCUUUAAUACCAAUUAAGUUAGGCAUCAUUAUCUUAUUAUAUAGCAAACAAGAGAACUCCAUCAUCAUCGUUCGGUCUCGCAGGAAACAAAUGAUUUUGUAUUCAACUUAAAAGGCAGAAGCUUUAUCGAUUUAUGCAGAAAAAGAUCUGACCUUUCGGCACUUCUCUUAAAAAAUGUAACUAUCCUAGUUAGAUUUAUGAUUCUUAAAGAUACCAUAUGUUCUCGAAAAAAUUACCUCUCUACCGAGCUUGAGCAGGAGGAGGAGGAUUAGCUUCACGUCUGAUGACAAGAACAUCAAGCUGCCCGAUUCUAUAGGUCUAGACGUCCAAGACGGGAUGAUCGGCACCAAACCCUCCAGCUAUAUAUGCUCGGAUGGAAUUUCCGAAUACUCUAGUUGCGCUGUUUUCUGUAUGCUUCACUAUGAAGGUUUUAUAAGCACCUAACCUCCUUACUGUGAUAUCCAUUCCAUCAUCUCCUUCAAUUGCACGUCUCCUCUGGUCAUUUUGUCUCCAAGCUUUUGCAGUUGGACCGUUAUCGCAGCUAGUUCCCACAUGUAAGUCGUUUUGCAGAGACACGUCGGCUGAGUGGCAUUGGGAGGAACAGGAAAUUCUUGAAAGGGGUAUGGCGGAUUCUCUGCGGGCGGUCUAGUUCUGGGUCUUGCGGCUGUCAUGCUUAUGGACUUCUGCUGGUUUUGCCGAUUUUGAGACGGGAAACGGCGAUGAAAUGUACUGCAUGGUGUGGCUUGUAGUGUUUAUACACGUGCUGAUUGUUUAGUUUAUUAAUGCAUGCUAUCAUCAGCACCGUCCACCACAGCAUACUGUCCUUUCCUUCCCAUCAUCAUCACAUCUUGGUUUGCGGCAUAAAUAAAAAUAUUUUCUUUACCCCAUUAAAAUGUGAUUUUUAUGACAGUUACUGUAACCAAAUUGGUGUACGAAAGCAACAAAAACUUAAUCAAACUAUCUUAUUUGCAACCAGAAUCUUGACCAAAAAAAAAAAAAAAUUGUACAACUACCUGAUUUUAAAGAAUUGAAAAUCAUAAGAACCAUUAGAAACUAAUCUACGUACAAACGAAGUGCUAUAAGAAUUUGUGGUUAUCGGUACUAAGCAUUUAGAUUUGGCAUAGAUAUUUAUUGUCAUUUUAUAAAUUUCUAAUUUUGUUAUCUUUACAAAAACUAAUUUUACUUUAGUUAUAUAACCACACCUAUAAGCAAUUUUUACUUUAAACAUCUAACUACAUAUUCAUCAAUAUAAUCAAUUUUAACCAUUGUAAUUACCACAAGGACAAUAGUUAUCAUUUCGUUCAAAGAAUAUCAAGAGAUCAUUGGAGUGGAUGUUCUAGGAGUAACUACGUCUAGAUUUGUUAGUGGUUAAGGUCUGAUCCUUGCUUUUGUUUAAAAAAAAAUCAAUUUUUUUUGUAUAAAAUUGAUUCACACAAACCAUUAUACAUCUCUAAAUUGCACAUACAGUGUGUGCGCUUGUGUGCCCUUAGCACUAGCGAAAAAGAAAUUCUCCCCUCAUAGCCGUUUUUCCCCCCUUCUUUCUUGGAUAAAUAUCCUUUCUUUUUCUUUUUUCUGGGAUAAACCUCCCUUGUUGGGUUGCUGUUACUGUCUGGACCAAUUAGUAAUUAAGUGCCUUGGCACGCAAUAUAUAUAUAUAUAUACAUAUAUAUAUGUGCACGCCAUUAGAAAAGGCCCCAGUCGACUAAUAUAAAUGCCAACCUAAAAUCACAUUAGUUGACCAUACCCGUGUAUUUUAACAUGCAUUAGAAAUAUUGAAGUUUAGCUCGCAUAUCAAUUCGCUAUGCCUCUUAGUCGUGUAAAUUUUGAUCCUCAAUAAUUAAUUGGCGAUUUGAUACAACUGUACUUUGCCUAUUGGCUAGAUUGAUUGCUGAUGUCUACUGUGUAUGUUUUGUUGAAUUAUUUCGUAGGUUGAAGAUUUUGAUUUUUCCCAUUUGAUAUUGGGAUUUGGAAUAUUUUUAACUCGAGAUCAAUUUUGGGAUGAUAGUGAAGUAGAUUUGUAUUUCCGCGUGCAAUAUUAAUAUUUGACAUUUGUACUUUGUGGUUGGAGUUAAUUAUGGAAGUAAAAAAACCAUUUUUUCUUUGAGUUUAUAGUAGAAUGAAGCUAUUGAAGGUUGGUAUGUUAGUAUUGUUGGCACCUCUCAUGUGCUUGCUGCAGCUCACUUAUCGAGACCCAGGAAACGGCUUGAUAAGAUGAUAAAGAAGUAAAACGCAGGUAGUGGACCACGCCUAAUGCUAAUAAUUAUUCAGUCAUUUUCUUGUACUGUUUCCAUUGCACUAGUCUUUAUCUCUGCAAUUCAUGUGAUGCCUUUCUCUGAAAGUGUUUGCUUCCUUUAUUUAUUUAUUUUUUGUUUUUUCUACUAUGAUAGGCAUUAUCACUAGUAAAAAUGGAAAAUGUUCACCUUGUCUCAAAGAUCAGGCUAAGCUGCGUCGUUAUGUUAUUGGUGAAAUGGAAAAGUGCUACCUAAAUUUCAGAACAUGCUAAUUUCACUGGUCAAACUCCAUUCUUGUGGUGCAUUUGCUAAAUCUCAGUGGUUCUGGAUGGCAGAUCAUCUGAGUUUUCUUCUCCUUCUAAUAAAAGUUCAAAAUUUUGCAGUACACAUUCGUCCGCCCCCUAAACCUAAUUCUUGGCUCCGCCACUGGAUCUAAUGUGUCUAGUCAAUGAGCAUAGCAUUUUAUCUCUGGAAUCCUAGUGUCGAACAAUUAGUCAGAUUGCCACAGUUCCACUGUGACCGUGGUAGGGGGAUUUGGAUUCAUUGCCACCACGAAUGAAUAUGUUGUGAUCCACUUAAUCUCCGACUCCCAGGGAGAGUUUAAUAAGUUUGUUACUGGUUAUGAGAUACUAACUUUCUCUACUACUAAUCAUGAUAUUAAUGUUACAAGAGACGACAUCUUAUGGAGUUGGAGAAAGCUUGGUGACAAGUGUUGUCAUGAGAAAGAUCUAGACGAUAUGUUUUGGUGAUGGGAUUUUAUUAUUGGAAAGUUUUGGAUCAUGAAUGCAUCAUCUUCUUCGACUUGGAUGAACACAAAUUUCAAGACGUUCCUCUGUCACCUGCGUUUCAGGAUUAUUCAACCCUGAUUGCGGGUUUCCAACUUGGGUAUACCGGAAAGGAAAUUUUUGUUUGGUGGAUCCAUCAGAAGAAACUACACAGCCCACGCCAACAAUGGAGAUAUGGAUGCCAACAAGGGCGAAGAACAACAAUAUGGCAACAGCAUUAUCAUGGAAAAAGGAGUACAGCAUUCCAUUGCCAGGUUUUAAUCUUCUUCUUUUUUUUCUUCCUGUCAUACAAUCUUGCAAUAUUUGUCCAUAUUCCUUUUGUCAACAUUUACAGGAUUGUGAUAAUUUCCAAAAGCUAUUGUUUGUGUGUGUUUGUGGGGGGGGGGGGGGGGGGGGGGGGGGGUAUGUAUGCUUGCUUCUUCCAGACGAAGCUUAUUACGUCUUACUUUCCUUUUGUUGCAGUACUGGUUAGAAAUAAAGAGUUUAUGUUACUAUAAGAUGCAUGAACUGAAUUCAAGAGAUGUUUAGGCUUGGACUUAACACAUAAUAUACUACUAUAGCUAGGAUAACAGAGAUUAAAAAAAAAACAUAUCCAACUAACGGCCUGCAAUUAUCUGAUAAACAAAACAUUUCCAAGUGAUUCGUUGAUUCGAAAUUUUUUUUAUGCUAAAUGCAGAUAAGAAUCGGUUAACGUAAUUCUACUAACUAAUUAUGUGUUUUUGCUGAUUUUCUUUCUCCCAAGUUUUGCAACCCAAUCUUGUUUGUCUCUCAAUUUCUCAUUCUGGUGGAACUGGAUUCAAAGGUUCCAUACAACCUUAUCAACGGCCUUAGCAAAGCUCCAAGGAUUAAUAUUACUAGGGAAGGUUUUCUUUUCUUUUCCUUUCUUAUUUUUUCCCUUUUUUCCUAGAACAGUAGUAAUAAAAGAGAACCAAACCAGCUUGCUGAUUUUCUAGAGAAUCGAGGAUGCAACUCAAAUUGGAAUCCUGCUUAUUAUGUGGCAACUUUUCCUUCCUACCUUAGCCACGGGCAAUACCUAUUGGACUAGACAAUGUUCACUGAAGCUUACAUGAGGAAUAUCUCUGUCCCUCUAGUUCCUUUUACUCCUUAAUUUCAUUUAGGACAGCGAUAUUGGUAAUCACUUGCUUCAUAUUUUUUCAAAAUAAAAUUUGUAAAGAGGAUAAAGUGCCAAUACAAAAAGUGGAUACCAAUGCUAUCACCAUUUUUUUUUGGUAAAUUAGCAAGGGUCCUGGCUAGAACCUACACCAUCAAAGGUAAUAUCAAAAGAACAAUAUGAAAAUCUUUUUUUUUUUUUGUUCUUUUUAUCUUUCCACCUGUACCCAAAAAAAUUGAACACCUUCCAUAAUCGAAGGACCAUUAUUUGACGUAUGCUCGUUAACUUUCACUAUCACUGCUAAUUGUUAUUUUUAUACACAAGAAUUGAACCAAGAUAAUUUCUAAAGUAUAUCAUUUUGAACCACUACGGCAUCACUAGAGGUGUCAAAUGGGUGAUAGAUCAUAAUUAGGUAAUAGGUAUAAUGUUGGGUUAAUUGAUGUAUAUCCAUUCAAUGAAUUGGUCAAAAUGGGUCAGCCCAUUUAAUAAAUGGGUAUAGGUAUAUCUAAUUUUCUAAUCAUGGCUCCCUUGUUCUUAAUUUUUUCAAUGUUGUUUGACAAAAAAAUAACGUUAUUUAUUAUUAUUUGGUUGUUAAGAAAUUCAAAUUUAUCCACUUAACAUCUACUAAAAAAUUAGUUUAAAUGAGUAUAAAUGAACAGUGCGAGUCAACCUAUCCACCAAUUAAAUAGGUUUAAUUGAAUCACUCAUUUAAACCUAUUCAAAAUUCAUUGCAUACUCAAAUCCAUUCAUUAGUGAGUUGGUUUAAACAUAUCAACAUAAUUGAAUUGUAAUUGAUAUCUAUAGGGUCUUCCUUCAGGGGUUGACGUGUUGCACAUUGCGUUGAAUGAGAAUCUGGCUACAUCAAGUUGGACUAGUAAUACUAAUACCAUAUUCUGUCCAGGCUGAGAUUUCCUCUAGCAACUUUAGGAUACUGCGAAAUUGCUCGUACAUUUUUUUUAUUACAAAGUAUGAAAUCAUCGAAAAGUUACCGGUUUUUCAUUUCCAAAGUGAUAAUAGUGCCACUCUAUUAGGAUCGAAGACAACCAAGUGAAAGAGAUAAGCAGUGUAAAGAUCACAAACGUAACAAUAAAUAAAUAAAAAGGAAAGAAUUGCAAACCAAUUAACUACCCAACUCCUCUUGAGCUUGUAGAUUAAUUCAAAUAAGUUUCUUCAAAUUGAUGAAUUACAAUCACUCUUGUGUACAAAUGAAGGUUCACCUUCUCCUUGCCUCGAACUCCACUCGGUCAAGCCAGGACGUUUUACUAUCCCUCAGGACAACCCUCACAGAGCUACACUCAUGAAGUAUUCACUCACAAAUGAAAAUCUUACAAUGAACCUCACACCACUAAGACUACAAAUCUUCUUUGAAGAGUAUUUUCUCACUAAAAUCACUCUAGAUCUUUUGUAUCUUUAGUGUGCAAAAGUUGUUUGAAGUAUCUGACCAACCACUAUUUAUAUAGGAUCAAGAAAGUGCCUCAUUAGUGCUUCCAACGGAUAGAAAGUAGCUGAAGAGUCAACUAGCCGUUGGAGUGUCGGACGUCCAAUAGCCCUGUUUUAUGCGUCCGACAGCAGGCAGUGAGUUUAAGAGAUUUUCUUCAAUUCUUUCGGAUGUCCGGUGCAAGGUUUUUGUGCGUCCGACAGCAAACAAAGAGAUUUGAGAAAUUAUCUUGUUUCUAUCGGACGUCCGGUAGAGACAUAUUCAGCGUCCGAUAGUUUUGUCGACUUCGAAGAAUCCUAUCGGACGUCCGAAGCAUGCGUCCAAAGUUGUGCAAUGAUUAUCAGACGUCCGGUACUGUCUUCUUGAGCGUCCGACAGGUUCAACAUAUUCUGUCUUUUUCAAAUGUGCUUAAUCUUUGAACCUGAUUUGUUUCAUUACUGAAAAAGCCUUUGAGGAGAUGUUAGCAACAUCCAUUUGUUUUGUCAUCAUCAAAAGUUAGGGACCAAGGUCAACACACUCCAAUUACUAUUAACCGCACCUUAUAUCUUUUAUAAUUUUUGUAAAAGAACAUUAAAAAAAUAUGGUGCCAAUAACAGCAAGUACUAGAGUGCCAAUAUGAUCAUUAACUGACAGAAACUGUAGUUCUGUUCAUAUAUCACAUAUCUCUGAUUGAACUACAAUUACACUUUUUCAUCUUUUUUCUUGUAUUAGAACUAGUACUUCAUAUAUAAAACGAUUACGUGGCUCAAUAUGCAAUGGCCUCCAAUUAGAUAUCGUGCGAACUUGAAGAUGACUUUUUCCCUUCAGUACUUUUGAGAAGCUAGCUAUCAAAGAAACAAUUAUGAAAAGUAUAAAGGACAACUUUAUAUUUCUUGUGUUUGAUUAAUGUUCUGUGGUUUACGUCAAAGGUUGAACUAAACAAAAUGAAGACCAAGUAUUUUAGGUACUAAAAAUUAGAAUUCAUGCUUUUCUUUCUUUCCAUUUUCCUAGUCAAACUGGUAUACUAGGAUCCUAAAUUUCACCGGCUGCAGCUUGCCUUUUUAUACAUGACAAGCAUUUUUUGCCUACAGCGUAAUACUAGGAAAAUGUGCCUGAACAAUAAUAUAGUGUAGAAUAAAAACCAUCAUUGUGUUGCAAUCAUUUAGGUUUGCUUAAUUUAAAACAAUCAUAUUAGUGGAUUCACUGGAAAAAUUUAGCCUUUGUAGGUGCAUAAUUGAAUGUUAUUUUUAUUUGCUGGCUUUGUACUUCCUUAACUAAUGCAAGAACCUGUGAGCCCUUUUGAUAUCAUUCCAAAGAAGACUAAGUAGUGAAGUUGAAAGCAUGUAUAUAUUUUGAAGAUCCUUCUGGAAGUGAAUCACAUGUGAAGCACGCAGGCAAGGCGUGGUUGUGUGAGGGCAUUGAGUGUAUAGCUUACUCAAGAGUGGCAUGAAAUCAUGGUGUUUGUAGCGUGAACCUAAGGUAACUCCAGAUGGUACCUCAAAAGAAUAUCCUCAUUAAAUUAAAAUGUAAAGAUAGCUUGAAACAAGGGAAAAAGAAGCAAAUUGUGUGGAAGAAUGCAACACAAAAGAAAAAGGUAGCACGAAGCUGUCUUCUUCCACUACAAAUUUGAAUGCAAAUAACAGUAGUUUUGCUUGCUUACUCUUGCUCUCUUUAUUUCAUAGGUAAGCUAUUUGAAUCCUUAUGCCUCUUUUUUUGUUUGCUCGAUAAAUGAAGGAGAGAAACAUUCGGCAGCCUCCUCUUUUGGCUAUAUUGAUUUGGUAUUAUUAUUGAGUUGGUUUUUUGCCUGAUUUUGGCUUUGUGGUGUCUAAGCUAACAAUUUAACCUUUACUUCUUGUUAAUUGUUAGAUUGGUUGAGCUGUUGAAAAAGGUUAAAUACUCCACUCUUGUGAUCUUCCAUAGGUGGAAAUGGAGACUGUACUAGCGCGGUUAGGUUGUGAGCCACACACGUUGAUACGGCAGUGAAUCAGUAAUUUAAAGCUAUCAUGACUAGUUUUCUUACAUACAAGUAGAAGUUUUCUUUCUUCAGUAAAUUCUAUGAAUAUGAAUUAACUGUAAAAAAAUUCUCAUAUAAUUGGAUAUAGAACAAUAUGAUGCUAGUUCAUGAACUGGUGAAUGGAUAAUUUACAUGCCAAUUUGAGAAUUGACUAUUGAAUUACUCCCAAUAUGUGCCACUUCAUGAAGGUUUACUUGGAAGGUAAAUGCUGUUAACGACUAAAAACAAACGUAAUCACCUUUUCAUUUAUCAAGAAGUUCUAACUACAACUCCUCCAUCGGAGCAGCGAAUAAUGAAAUAGAUAAAGUUGGGUCUUGGUCCUCCUGGAUAUUAGAGUACAUUGACAAGAAACAAUUCUCGUACAAACCCGAUACUUAAAAAAUGAUGCAAUACUCUUUUUGUACUAUAUUGCAUUAAAUGCCUUGAUCUAUAAAUGGCUAGAAAACUUCAGUGUAAGUUCUUUUCAAUUAUAUGAGAAAUGCAACUCAAAGAUAGUAGUUGCCUUCAAUUUGCAACCCCUUCAUUAAAAAUAAAAAACUAUGAUGAAAAUGGAGUUGACCUAUCAGUUCUUCUCACCGGAACAAGAGGGAAAAAUCUUGGACUCGUUAGGUAAGUAGCAUGAUUAAUUUGUUCAAACACCAUUAAGUAUCAGUUACAUUACUUUCUUCAUCACAUACUAUUUUUAACUGAUCGGGCAAAGUCCUAUAACCAUCCAACCAUGUGUAUUGUGCUCGAUGCCAAACUGCUCAUCUUUUUUUUUUUUUUUUUUUAAAUCAAAUUUAGGCUUCAGUUCAGGGACUGGUAAAGGAUAUCAGCUCAUAAAGAGAUUGACUGGACAGUGAGCUGGACGUGAUAAAUUUACCACCCAGAUGAAAUAACUAGACUUUCCUUUUUCUUUGUGUUUAUACUUGGAAUGGAAAGUGUACACAUAAUCUGGCAAGCCAUUGUAGUAUGUGAGGAACCUUUGCUUGAUAACACCACCACUUUAGCUGAAGUAUGUACUUCUAUUAGGGAAAUUUGCCAAAUUGAUCCCUAACAUUUUCACAAAAAUUUUUUUUAGUCCCUAACAUUUAAAAUCAGUCAGAAUAGUCCCUAACAUAUAAAUUAUGAGCCAGUUUGGUCGUAAUGCUCGUAUUUGCUCAUUUCUCCGACUAAAAACAGCACACCUCUCUCACAUGAGCAUAAUUUGAAGAGCAAAAUCGGAAAACAUUCGUUAAUCCAUGAUUUUACAGGCAAAACCCUCUUUGGAUUCCUAUUACUUUUCUCCCUUUCCCUCGACACCAUUUUGCAAACUAGCCGGAAACCAUCAACAAAUUUCACCUUCUCAGUCAAAGCAGCUUUUGCACUUUCCUUGAUUUCCCUGUCCCCAUAUCAAACCCCCAAGCCCUUCUUCAAUUUCACCAUACCUCUCAAAAUAAUUCAACAAAGUCUCAGAACUCAUCUCAGUUGGUUGGCACAUUCUCCACCAAUUUUAUUGCUAACAAACCCAUUGCUGACAAACCCAUCAAUUUUAUUGCUAGGGUUUUCUAGGGCAAGCAAGAAAGACUCAACAGUCAACAUUCUUGAAAGUAACAAAACCAUAGACUUUUGAUAAAAAUCUUGCGGUAGGAUGGGAUGUCAUCAACGAUGGAAAGAACGGUAUGGAGAAUGCUAGGAUGGACAAUCGCAGCUUCUGAAGGAUUCAACAAUUUGGGAUUUCGUGAAGGAUUGCAAAAUGCAAAAUUUCACCUUCUUCAAACUUCAAGUUUUCUGGUUCUCUUGAGAUCAUCAGGCUUUGGGUUAGUGGUGAUGGUGGAAUGCAUCUGAUGGAGUAGGUGCAGGGAAAAUGACUCAAGAUUGACUCUAGGAGGAGUGGGUGGAGUUAUGGAAGAGUAGCCAUUGAGAACUUGAGCUUUGAAGAGAAUAUUCUCUUUCUUUAAGAGUCUAAAACCAUGGAUUAACGAAUGUCUUCCGAUUUUGCCCUUAAAAUUAUAUCCACGUGAGAGAGGUGUGCUAUUUUUAGUCGGAGAAAUGAGCAAAUACGAGUAUUAUGACCAAAUUGGCUCAUAAUUUAUAUGUUAGGGACUAUUCUGGCUGAUUUUAAAUAUUAGAGACUAAAAAAGUUUUUUGUGAAAAUGUUAGGGAUCAAUUUGGCAAAUUUCCCUUUCUAUUAUAGUAUUAAAUUUAACCCCCAGUGUGAAAUGAUGCAGUAAAAAAAUAGCUAAAGAAAGAGAAGUGCACAGUUCCAUGUCUAGCAGUUAGAGAAAAGUAAUUAUGGCGGGUCACAAAGAUGGAAGACUGAAUUGGAACAAAACGUCCAAGUUAGACUGACAAAGUCGUUGAAAGUAGUACUAUUGAUUAAAAGCUAUACAUUGAUUCAAGUUGAUGACCCAAAAAUCCAGAGUCACCAAAGAGGUGUAGACUAGAUUCGUGGUUGCUAGAGUUGAGCUUUAAAUUCCAUCCAUUUGGAUACACAAAUACAGCCGAUCGAUUAGGAUUAAUUAAUGUUAGCAAGAAAGUGCAGUUCCAAUGAUGUAACUUGUGAUGAUGUAUGGUAGUCUUUUUGGUAGAAAUAUGAAGAAAAGAGGUGAAAAGAUUAUUGUUGACUCGUUCCUUUUGGGGGACAUAAUUUGGAAGUCAUAAGCCGGCAAAAGUUAUCAUAGGUGGUUUCGUUUGUUUCUCCAACCUUCAAAAUUCCACACGAAGAAGGCCAAUCAAGACUUUCCCCACCACUUACCACUCGGUGUCAUGGAUCGAUUGCAUGGUGCAUAGAAAUGUGAAGGCACUUGCUAUUAGGUUUUUCUCGUCUGUUCUAAGUUUCUUUCGUUUUCAAUGGAAGCAGGACCGACCCACCGACGCAAUGCGCCUCACAUCCAACUAUAAAAAGCCACCCAACCCAAUCCUCUCCUCUCAUAACUAUGCUCACUUGAUUUAUGUGGCAUUGGCUGAUUUGAUCAUCCAUUAACUAAAGAUUAGCGUUAUCAAAGUCAAGACUUAAAGAGACUGGGAACUGGUCUCCAGAUUGGUGAAGCUUUAUGAUUUUUUGUCCGAGCCAAUUAUUCAGAUUUUAUACUUGAAACUUGGUUACAAAUAACUAGCUAUUUUUCCAAUUCAUGCAAAUUUAAAGCGUUAAUUCUUUUCAAUCAUACUAAAAAGAUUUUGUUAAAGAUGUGCUAAUCUCUCUACUUAGAAUUGCCCUAGACAAUUGGAGCCGUAAUUGUUAAAUCCUGAUCCAAAAGAAGAAUCAGGUCUGCUUAAUUUUCUUUUCCCUUGUCCUAACUCUCAUAGUAGAAAGUUCUGUUGAAGUUGAAGAUGACACAUCCACUUAUAUGUAAGGACAGAGAAUCAAAAGUUUUCUUUUACUUCUUGAAUAGGGGAUUCGACGUUCUAAUCCCAGUAAAAUGUGCCAUUGGAAUUGCACGCGAUGCGCAAUCUCAAAUAUCUCAUCCACUGAAACUAUAAGAAAAAGGAAAAAGUUGUAAAGAAAGAAAGCAAACAAAAAUGAAGUGGUGGUAUAUUCUAGUAUUUGGUCAUGGUAGCAGUAGUUCUGAUUACACUUUCCUUUAGGCUUUUUCUUUUUGUGUGAAAAGCAAGAUAGAUAGGGGAGGAAUCCCAUUAGGCAUUAAUUCUGUGUAAAGAAUAUUAGCAUGAUCAUUUUGACCUUAAAAAAAAAAAAAGCACAACAUUGCAUGGAUCCUUCUCCAUGGAUGUUUCGAUUGUUUUCAAUUGAAAAUACGUGUAACUCUGCUGAAGACUCCGGAUAUUUCUGGUCGUGGAACCGAAUUUUCUUGUACACACUGGUUCAAUUAAGAAUCAGGUUUCAUUUUAAAAUUACUUUUCUAUACAGUGAUAUAAUGUAGUAGUAUAAACUAUCACUAUUAAAUACAUGACAAUUAUCUAAAUUUGAAUUUAAAAUUCAAAUCUUAUAUAUGUAUUAUGUAUUCAACCAACCUAAUAUCGUAUACAUGUUCAAUUCAAUGUAUAUAAUCUUAACUCUUCAUUCUAAUAAAAAUAAAGUACUUCAGAAGCUCAAAUAGAAUGCUUAAUUAACUCUUCAUUGUUUGAAUUGCUUGUUUCCGUCGGAAAAUAUUAUCGUUUUCCGUGAUCACAUUUCCCUAUCACAUUUUUUCCUCACAUAUAUCAAAUCGCUACAGUAAUUUUUCCAUGAAAAAUGACGGAAAAUGCAAUCCAAACACAACCUAAGAUUCCACGAUAACGGCCUCAACUUCUUUGGAAACAUCCGUUGUCCCCCAGGCCAAAGAUUAAUUAAACAGGACCACAUCCGUACCUCCUUAAACAUAAUCUAGUUGAAUGAAAGAAAAGGUCGUAGGUUGCAUGGGAACUAAUAAACAUAUAUUACAUCAAUUGCCUAAUACAAGUUAACUCAAUUAAUAAGGAUAGAUCACUUUUUUUGUUUUAUCAAAGGCCGUGUUUUCAAAUCCAGCUGUCCAUAUGAGAGGCAUGUAUAAUUCGUGUUCCGAAUUCCAAUAUCAAUAUGAAGGCUGUAUUGGUGAAUGAUUUAUAAAAAGUUCUAUAAGUACGUUUUGUAUUUGAAUACCAUUGUCAAUUUGAAGGAUGUUGGUCGAUAAUAGGUAAUAAUUCCUUUUCGAGUGCAUGUUUUAACUUGUGACGGUGACGAGUCGAAUUCAUCUAAACUUUGUCUAUCCAAAAAAUAUAUAUAAGUACUUUAAUUGCAAUACGCAAUUUUUUUUGGGGGGCACGAAAUCCGUAAGCCGACCAAGGCCUCCUUGCCCAUAAAUUUGAUUGGUUUCGUCAUGUAUCAGAGUUUUGACUUUUGAUUUUUGUGCAUUGAUAAUUUCUGUUGACCGAAUAUCCCUAUAGUUAAUUGAGCACAGAAAAUUCUAAAAUAUAACCAGAAACAAGAACAUCGUUGGUGUUGAAUAACUCUGCUCUGGAACGAAACCUUCAAAUGUCACCGAUAAAAUUUCUACUCUUUGAGUCAUCCAUCCAUCUUGAGAGAUGUGGUGGUCGAAGUUGACUUUAUUUCCAACCCCAGAACCAUGAACUAAUGGACAACACAAAAAAGUAAAAUGCCCAAGCUUGCAAGUUGGAUGGUUGUUGAAUGUUGAAGAAUAUUAAUUAGUGGUUUUAAUCAAAUAGCUACUACAUAUUAUCAACAGCUUCAAUUCUUUUUCUUUUCCUUUUUUCUUUUGAAUUAGAAAAAAUCAAUUAAGUUCUCUUUGCUUUAAUUGGUAAUUUUUUUUCAAUUGGAUAUACUAGUUGCAAUUUUCUUUUGUCAAGAAGUCAAUUGACUUUUACUGACUAAACAAACCUAAUCCCCAGAGCAUACUCCAAAAGCCGGCAACUCUUGGAGCAGCCCCAGGAGACUUAUCUACCCAACAAACCCCAACCCCCUCCCCGAUGUGGGACUAUAACUCACUCAACCACCCUGCUACUAAGAGUGUACUAACCCCCAAGUGAAAUUGAGAAAUGAGUUUCGUCUUUUGUCAAGAAGUCAAUUGACUUUUACUGACUAAACAAACCUAAUCCCCAGAGCAUACUCCAAAAGCCGGCAACUCUUGAAGUAGCCCCAGGAGACUUAUCUACCCAACAAACCCCAACCCCCUCCCCGAUGUGGGACUAUAACUCACUCAACCACCCUGCUACUAAGAGUGUACUAACCCCCAAGUGAAAUUGAGAAAUGAGUUUCGUCUUUUGUCAAGAAGUCAAUUGACUUUUACUGACUAAACAAACCUAAUCCCCAGAGCAUACUCCAAAAGCCGGCAACUCUUGGAGCAGCCCCAGGAGACUUAUCUACCCAACAAACCCCAACCCCCUCCCCGAUGUGGGACUAUAACUCACUCAACCACCCUGCUACUAAGAGUGUACUAACCCCCAAGUGAAAUUGAGAAAUGAGUUUCGUCUUUUGUCAAGAAGUCAAUUGACUUUUACUGACUAAACAAACCUAAUCCCCAGAGCAUACUCCAAAAGCCGGCAACUCUUGGAGCAGCCCCAGGAGACUUAUCUACCCAACAAACCCAGUACUGUGAUUUUCUGCUCGACACGUCUGGAGCAUGUUGUUUAGGCAAUGAAAAGGAGCUCCAAGUUACUCCAAUUUCCAAAAAAUUACAAAAAAAAAAUUGGCUUGCUGAAAAUGCUGGCCAUAUAGUUAUGCUUCGUGGCACUAAAGGAAACCCAACAUGACAUUUGAUCCUAGGAAAUGACAAGUGUCUCCUUAUAUCACUUUCAAUGUGUUUAAUUAUCAAACCCUAAAUAAGUUUUUUUGACUUUGUACUUAAGUCGUAACCCCUGGAGAAUUAUAUAUAAUUCAUUCAUAAACAAAAGCCGUAACCCCUCAAGAACUAUAUACAAUUCCUUCAUUCAUAAUAGAAAGAAGUCGUAACCCCUCUAAAAUUCGUCUCCUAUCCUCUGCCAUUGGCUCUAAAGAUGUAAUGAAUACAACGUAAUUAAGGAGAAAGUAAACGAUAAAAAAUCAAAAUCACAAAGAUAACGCUUUAAAAAUCUUGAAAGUGUCUUCGCCUAUGUUUACAGGAUUCAGUCGUUCUACUUUAUUAAUUACUUACUUGUAUUUAUAUUAGACGAAAAGAAUAUAGUAAUUUAUUAGUGUUCUUUUACGAUUAUUAAAAAAAACAAAAAAAGAAGAAGAGGUAAGCAGUAGAAAACCAAAAGCAAGCAGGUUGGCCAAUCGAUAUCCACUCAUCAAUGUGAGUAAAGGCUGUGGUAUAUUUUCACUCACCAUGCAUGAACCUGAUGCUACUAGGCUUUCUCAUUGAUAACACAACACAACACCAAUGACCAAACCGUCCAUCAAUAUUCCCCUUUAACAAUUAAACAAAGCAUAGCAUUUUUCACUUUGCAUUUAUCUUUUCAAGAUUUUCCAAGAAUUGAAUGGUAUAAAAGUUUAAUGUAAAUUAUUUGCUCCUAAAAAUUGAAAUGAAAUUAAACUAUUGAAUUCUGUGGAGUGUGUACUAGACUGAAAAAAAUUUCAGAUCUCCAACCGAAGCCUGGAACAGUUGCAGGCACCACAGAAAGUAAAAGUACAAAAAAGAUGAGAGAGGAAAAGAGGAGACAAAGACAAGGAAAGAACAGAGGAAAUACUAAGAGGGAAUUAGCUUCCUCUGUUGUUGCUGAGCUUCAAUUCCACCGAACUCUAGUACUAUUAGGACAGUUGUGACAGGUGGAACUUGCUUUUUAUCAUUAUUUAUUAUUUCAUUUCAUUCACACACCUUCCUUUCUUAAGCAACUUCUUUCCCCCAAAAAAGCCAAAAAAAAAAAUUUUUUUUUUUGUUCAAGAAAUUACAAAGAAAAUGCCUACUCGGAUUGAUUGAACAGAUGGAAUGGAAAAGAAAACCAUGAGAUCAGAGCACUUUCCAUACUGCUUCAAGUCUUCCAACUCCCCCCUUCCCCACGCAGUCAAAAUAGGGGGAAAAAAAAUAAAAUAAUGAAAGCCACAUUGAAAUGGCCAAACUGUGAUCCGCACUUGGUAGGAAGCCGAACCACUGCGCCCCACAAAACUGAUUCCCUGUCACUGUAGCGACACGAGAGUUAAUCCCAUUGGUAAAUAUGAACGAUUUGUUCUUUGUUCAGAUCAAUUACUUGUAUUGGAGUCUCACUUGGGAUUUUUCUCCUUGUCACCUAUAGCAUAUAUGAAAAAGCAACCAAAAAACAUAAUAGCAGUACCGUAUUUCCAUUAUACCGAAAAGUGUUGGCACAUGCAAGAGCUCUUUUCUGCAUAAUCUUGUUACAAAUUGGGAAGAGUUUUAGCUAUCAGUACUGAUUAAAAUGAGUUGCCUUGGGUUAAAUGAUGUUGUAGCUGUCAAGAGUAACAGGAUUUGGAAUGAAGCGAAUUACAGGCCAAUGAUAAGUAAAAUGGGCAAAAAUCAAGAAACCCUUUCUAUCCAAUGGUUUAAAUUACAUUCUGAUUAGUAAACCGAUGGGAUUUCAUUCAUUCAAGCUACCCAAGAAAAGUUCAUCUGUUACUGUGAAUCUACUUCUUUUUUUUUUUCCCUGCAAAAAGUUCCUAAUUUGAAGAGUUUCAUUGCUUGAAUGGGUUGACAAAUUCAGCAUCAGAAACUGCAGAAAGUUCGAUUUGACUGAUCUCAUCAUCAUCAACUGGAGCUGGAAGAUUAAGAUCUAUGAAAGCCUCUCCAAAUCUUGAAAAUGGUUUAGCUGCAGGACUAGUCCUGAUACUGACAUGUGUGGUUGCUGCCGCCGCUGCCGCUGCUGCAGCUGCACCCAUGACAUGUGAUCUCUUGUGCCCACCUAGAGCCUGACCUGAUGAGAAAAUUCUGUAGCAAAUUGGGCAUUCAUGUAUCUUCUCUUCAACCACCACACUAGAAACUGCAGCAGCUGAGGCCGCAUUCCCUGUUUCCACCCCUGCUACUUCUUCCUCUGUUGAAUUGCUGUUGUGGGCUUUAAUUCUCUUGUGACUGGCUCUGUGCCCCCCCAAAGCCUGAUAAGAGCGAAAUGCUUUGUUACAUGUUUCACAUCUGUACUUCCCCCUAGUCCUGCUCUUGGUUACUUUAACCACACCAAAAUCAUGACAGUACUGGCUCUUUGCAUCUUUAUUCUUUUUCUGCUUUUCUGGUUCUUCAUGAUCAGCCUUUCCUUCCUCUGCCUCCUCCUCCUCCACUUCUUCUCCUCCGUACAUGGCUUCUUCUUCAUUGUCUUCUUUCUUCCACUUGUCUCUAGAUAGCAUCAUCAAGCAAUAAGCAACAACUUCUUCUGUGGUGGUAUCAGAGAUUGAACUAACGGGUUCAGCAUCCGCAAAUGGUAAUUCACAAGAAAACCUGCCCUGUUUUCCGGACUUGGGCUUUUUCAGUUCUGCCAUGCUAUCAUUAAUAUAACCGGAAAAUUGGACUGCAUCCGAAACUCUUGAUUUCCUAACUCUUUUGGAUCUUCUACAAAUCGGAUUCUUUGAUGACUCGGUCUCACUCUCCCUAUCCUGAACAACAACAGAAUCAGCAGCAGCGGUUACCUCAACUCCUCCAAAACAGAAUUCUUGAUCCAUCACCAUGUCAACCUUUUUCUUUGGAUUAAUCUCUUCAUCCUCUGACGAUGAUGAUGAUGAAAAAGAUGAUGAUGGCACUGACUCAAACUCUUCACUAAUUUGCCUCUCAUCAUUAAUGUUCAUAACUUCUUCUUCUUCAUGCUCCUCUUUGAUGAAUUCCUGCUUGGCCUUGGUUGCUGCGCACAGAUUCAUCAUGUGAGAUCUCAUGUGCCCACCCAAAGCUCUGCCAUUAGCAAAACUCCUAAAGCAUAGCUUACAUCUGUGCUUCUCCAUAUCAAAGAAGCCAAAAUCAACUUCACCCCACCAAAAAUUUUUUGCCUCUUCUCUUUUUUUUUCCCCCCCUCUAACUUAGGAUUAGGACUCUCUCUCCCUUUAUGCUUUUGUUUUUUGUGGAGAGAAGUGCUUGGGAGGCUGCUUCUUCCUCUCUGGUUUGAAGCAUAAAGAGAGUGGAAGGAAACUAAAAGGAGUAGUUGACAAGCAUUUCUUUACACCGAGGAGAGUGACUAUUUAUAUGAGCCUACACGAACAACCAUUGAAAAUAUAAUAAUAAUAAUAAUAAUCUAGUAAAGCAGUCUUGAGAAUUCGGUUCAGAUUUCUUUAAUUUGAGGAAGUAAAUCUUUUUUGUUUUUGUUUUUGUUUUUGGUUAAAAACGGCAAACAGCAAUAAAUUAAGAAAUUGUACUGCUUAAUUAAUUGAGGGGUAUGCAUGAAGACGUGUAACAUGCGAGUUUUUGCAUUUAAGUCUAUCCGCAUCUUUACAUUCCUAAACAGCCCUUAAUAACUCUGUUUCUUUUCUUUCUUCCUUUCCAUUCCUUUUAUCUUUUUUUGGUGGGUUUUGUUGGAUGAAUGAUUAAUAUUACCUAUCUUGCAAGUUUAAUGUGGAGGUUAUAUAGUAACCAAAAUAAUCCAAUAAUAAUAAUAAUAAUAAUAAUUAAAGAAAUGGCCCCAAACUAGUUAGCAGUGACCUGAGAAGAAGGGAACAACUACAACCUCAGUAGGACAUUAUUGUGUUUGACAGAACUGUAUGGGCUGGUGGUAUACUCAAGAUUAAUAACGGAAUGUGGCUGCUUUGGUAGAGUAAAUUUCGAGUAAUUAAAUACAAUUAAAAGUCGAAAAUCACUUAAAUUAAAAGCCAGUAGAUUCUGUUACCUUUUGGCUGGUUAAAAGGGGCCAAAGUACAAAGGUUUGGAAAGUGGGGCUGGUUCAAGAAUGCCAUUCCAUGCAUGACGUGGGAAUUUAUCUUGGGGGACAUAGAUUCAUAAUUAAUGAGUCAUAAAAAGAUUAAAGAGUUUGGUAUUAUAUUUGGAAAAUCUGCCCCUUUAAUUUUGGAUCUUUGGUUGAAAUGUGUGAUAAAAAUGUGGGGUGGGGAAAUGAGGAGGAAACUAACUUCUUUCCUUUGAGAAUGGAGUAUUCUAGGGGAGUAAAGUAAAUGCCGUUUUAUUUGGGCAAAUUGGUGGACCUGGUCCUCCUUCUUCUUCUUUUGCCUUUCAUUUGAACAAGCAUAAGAUUUUUUUUUUUUUUGGGAUGGGUUGAGUCGGAGACUUUGAACCCAUGCCCUACUACUUACAAUUCCUCUCAUCUUAUCACCCGACCCAAUCCGGUCUACUGAACAAGCAUUAGAUGACACACUACGAUGUAGUUUUCAUCUAUUUCUUUUUUGUUUUCCCCAUUACAUGUACAAUUAGCCUCCAACUCAGUCCUUGCCCGGUGAUUUGUUUUUUUCUGUAUUUUGUACGAUGAAGUUAAUGCUAGAAAUUUCAUUGGAACUAGUUUAACAUAAAACGAAAAUGUAAAAAUCAUCAUUGGCGUAGUUAUUUUUUUCCCUUCUCAUUUAGUUUUUUCUUUAAAGAUUUUUUCAACGGGUGCCCAACCAUUGAACACUCGUUAAUACACGCAAAUCAUACUCAACCUAUCAUGUAUAUGUACAUGCUAAUAAUUAUUAUCCACCUUUACAUUUAUACACUUUUCCAAAUUAACUUUAUUUUUUUCUAAAAAUUUAACCUUUGACGAACAUUUUAAUGGGUGUUCGAAAAUUAGGUGCAAUACGCAAAAGUCAAUAGUGUGGUCAAGGUGCAGAAGCUAGUACUCAUCUCAAUAAGAAAGAGCUUAUAUAAUAAGUAAAAUUUCAUAUUCUGAUUUUGGGUAAUAGUGCUAUUGGAUCAAAGAUGACAAGCUCAAGAAUUGCAUUUUAAUAAGGGUCGAACGCUAAUGUUUAGCUGAAAGCAUCCAUUUCAGCUUAAUCAAGCUGUAGUAAUUGAAAAUCUUCCAGUCACAGAUGUUACUAUCGAGUGACUUUUAUGCUAAAAUCUUCUUCUUUAUUUUUUUUUUUUUUGAAAACGUACGAGAAUGUCUCUUGAAUGCUCACUCACCUAUGUAUUGGUUUGUAUAAAUGGCACCUAAUGAAUUACUUUUGAAAUAACAACAGUGCAAAAAAGAAAAAGAUUUUCAUUAGGGUUAUAUGUAUAUAUGGACCAAAAGUAAACAAGAAAAGAAAUACGAGAGGUUAAUGAUAAGAAGUUGUAUUUAGGGAAUUCAGGGGCAGGACAUAUAACUUGUCUAGUGGGAGUGCUGGCAUCUUCAUGAGACAACUAGCUACUAUAUAUAUAUAUAUAUAGUGGAAGAAGCCAAGAAGGGCUGUUUGACAUGUUAAUAAUCCACUUCGUAAAAUGGGGCUAAAAUCUUUCUUUGUAUAUUUUUUUCUUUUUCUUACUAGGUUGCAGGUCUGUAUCUCCAACUUGGUCAUACAUUUUACAAUUUUACCAGAAAAACAAAAAGGUCAUGCAUUUACAAGCUGCAGUAUCUUUUCCCAAAGUCAUGAACUUUAGCCGUGAAUCCACAAAAUCCUCCACCCACUGGUCCAAAAAGCAGUAACAAGGGAAGAAGAUGAAUAAAAACUAGUCGCUGGCACGAUUUUGAUUAGUCAAAUUUAACAGUAGUAUCUUUUCAUUGCCAACAGACUUACAUUAUUCAUUCAUUUUUCCUUCUUCUUAACUGGGUUGGGUGGGGGAAAUUUUGGCAUGAGAGGAAAAAAUCAGUUGAAAAUGACAUUCAUCUAAUUCGUCUUAGAAACUCCACAGUGAAUUUUCAACGUUUCGAAAAUUUACAAAUGCUAACGGGUGUGUGCUCGCGCGCAUACACGCACACAUACAUUAUGACUAGUCCUUUCAUCAUUUUCACACAUAAAAAUUGUUGAUUACUUAGCACACUAUACAAGAAAAUAGUUCCAUAACUUCUACUGAACUCAAAAAUAUAUAUAUAUAUAGACAGGAUCACUAACUGUAUGUAUAUUAUUAUCAUUAGAUGUAUAUAUAUAUAUAUAUGAUAAUUAAUCUUAAUUUAAAUAUAAAAAAGUACCCUUUAUUCCAAGUAGACGCAUCUUAUGCCGUAAAAAGAAAAAAGUAGGCUGAGUUUAGAAUACGAUCAUGGCAAAAUUUGCGGGAUUAAUUCAGGGGCCCUUACAACUUCACUAUCAAGUCCCAAUCAUUUUUCUUGUAGUUUUGCGUGUUGGAGGGACAGUCAGAGUCCAACAACGCGUAACCCAUUUUUGGUACUACACCACUCGUCUGUAUACUGUAGAGGAACUGGACUCUGAACUCCCUUCCUUGGCUGCUUAAUCUUUUGUUUAAAGUUUAAUAUCAUGGGACAAUUCUUCUAAGUUUUGAUAAUCUACCAACUCCCUAGAAAAAAUGAAAAAGCAAAAGCCGCAUUAAUUAAAUUAAUUCUGGCAACUACACUUUCAAUGGAUCAAAUUAGCUCUGGCUCUUGACUUUUAAGUUCUCUCCUUUCUUAAACCAAGAACUCAUAAAAAUCUGAAACUUGAAGUAUUUUAGAUCAUUUUAGGGGUUAUAUUAUACGAGUAGCUUCAUACAUUUUGCUGGUUGCAUUUGAGAUUUUAGGGUGUGGCUCCAUCAUUUGCAAGGUGAAUUAGUCCAUGUCUUCAUGACAUGAGUAACAUGAUGGUUCUAGAUAUAUACUACAUAAUCAUCAUGGGAAUAUUAAAAAGCUCAAUCUCAUUUCUUGAACCCCAUUCAUAUUUGACCGAUUCAAUCACUUUGAGUAAUACUCCAUGCGAGUCAACUCACUCCAAUUUGUACAAUUACCUUAAAUUUUGUUAUUUCAGCAUAACACCCAUUGCAAUGGUGUGAUGGGGAAAGCAAUAAUACUUACUGUAAAUGCAUAAUUUCAAAAUAAAACGAGUUUAUUAUAAAUUCGGAAAACACUGCCAACUAAUUUUUCUUUCCAUACUUUUGGAAUCAAGGGCUGCCAACAGUGUGUUGUUAUCAAGUAACUUAUCAAUCCAUAUAUCAAACUAAUUAGUGGUUAGCCGAAAUUCUAUAAAUGCAAGGGUAAUGUUUUGAGAACUGACGCCUAGUAAGUAUUAAUAGUUCUUCACAAAAUUUGCUUGUACAUCUAUGAAUAUGCUUGAUUUCGUUCACAGAUCAUAUACAAAGGAAUGACAAAGAAAAGAAGACGGUUUCAAGUUUUUUGGUAUUUUCAAUUGCACUUUUUCUUUUUCUUUUUUCCCGUGAAAAUUGGAGCUUUUUGAACUUUCCUUUAAUUCAUGACCUUUUGAGUCUAGUCUAAGUUCCUCGUUUGUCAACAUUAUCAACGAGUCUAGCAUCUUACGCGGAUUUUAGUCAUGGUUGAAUUCAAUGCCUAGUGAUUCUACUUCUUCAUUUUCUCAGGAGCACUUAUAAUUCUUCGAAAUCUAUGGACAUGAAAUUUGGCAUACUACAAUUGAGGCAGCAAAGCAUAAUUGCGGAAGGUAGUUGUCGCUGGUUACUCUUUGCCCAGAAACGUAGUGCCCAGAAAUGAGUAGGGUAACUGAUAAAUUACAACAGCACAUUGCUAAUCAAGAAAACCAGAUAAAGAAAAUCAGUAAUUCUGUUAUUUUUUGAUCCCUUGCACUUGAAGCUGCGAAAAUCUGUUUCUUAUAUAAUUGGCUAAAAUGUUGGCCUUCUUUAUGUACAGUAUACACGGAUACAUGACUUUGAUAAGUUUUUCAGAAUUUUCUCUCAAAAAAAUAUCCAUCCCUCUACAGCUCUUUCAAAAAGUGAAUAUAAGUAGUAUAAAAAUUGUCACGAGAAUGAAAAACUUUCCAUGUACAUUUGGAUCGCUAAUUAUGAGUAUUGUGUAUGAUGAUACAAGAAGACGUAUAAUCAAAUCUCAAUUUGGAUCAGCAAUAAAAUACCUAGGGGUUAGUGUUGACUCGAGCUGUUGAACCAAUUCCAACUUGUAACCACUGUGAAGAAUUUCCACUUAAGUUUAUAUCUUUGAGGUCACUUAGCUUUGCCAGCUCCACCUUACUAUCAGCUUCAUCGUCCGCAUUUUCAAUUGGACCGUUACUACAAUUUAUGUUGUUCUUGUUGAUAUUACUAUCAUUGUGGCGAUCAUUCUCGUUGCCUUGAUCAUCAUCGUUCUGGUGAUGGCAAUUCUGGCUAUCACAUUUUGUUUCUGCACCUAAAUUGGGCGUCCAUGUGUGAAGGCGAAUAUCAGUAGAGACCUCAAAGCUCAAUGGAUUUUGAGGCCUUAAUAUGCCCAAUAGUUCAUGAUCGCCUUGAGUUGCUGGGAUGUUGAGAUCUAGUGUCUCAGACUUGUUGAUUAAUGGUGGACCCUGGUGUAGUAUUUGAUGAUCCAUGUGAUCAUGAUUGAAUUGCAGCUUCACCAGAGAAGAAGUUUCCUGGGAGUUGGAGGUGAUCCAAUGGCACCUCUUGUGUCCACCCAAGGCUUGUCCGGUAGAAAAGACCCUGUGACAAAUUGUGCACUCGUGCACUUUGGAUUUUCUCCUAGAAGCCCCUGCCAUUGUUGGGCCUUGUUCGAAUUGUAAGGACGAAGGAGAUUUGGAUGGAAAGAAUUCGUCAUGGAUGGUCACAUCGUCAUCAGCUAAACUGCUAUCAUCUUGCUGAUCUUGCUUAGCUGCAAAACAGCCCUUCACCUUCUUGUGACUUGCCCUAUGUCCUCCUAGCGCUUGAUGAGAAUUGAACACUUUCUUGCAUGCUUUACAUUCAAACAGGCCUUUGGAUGCACCUUUAGGCUUGUCUAAAGGGACUCGACUUGCAAUUAGCGGAGUGUUAAAGUAGGCCGUCACCGGAUUAAUCCGCCUUUCUUCCUCCUUACUGGCGGAAGCACAAGAUUCUUCCGGCUCAACUUCAAACCUAGCAUUUGCUAAAUCUACUAGGCAUCUUGCCAGGAGGAGAUCUUCAUCCUCACUUGAAGGAUAAGCUGAGCCAAAACUUCCCACUUUAGUCCUCAAUGACCUCUUCCUUUUAGACCAUUGACACCCUUUUCGCUCCCCCUCGUACUCUCCAUCAGAUCCUGGAGAGGACACCAAUGAUUCAGCAUCGUCAGAGCUACAUUUGCCAUGUUCAAGGAAAGAUUUCCAUGAGGCAAACUCUUUACCACAGUUCUCACAAAUCCUACAACUUUUUAGUCGAUUCGGAUUUGUCCUUAGCUGGUACAUUCUUCUACAUGUCCUAUCAGCCCCUCCAAAUUUAUCCUCCCAAUCACUUGCAACAUCAUCGUCAUCAAGACUUCCACCUUCAUCUCCAAUACCAUGAGCCCUCAUAUGCCCACCUAAAGCUCUCCCACACAUGAAACCCUUCUUGCAUAUCCUACAAUAGUGUUUAAACUUUGGUGGUUGAUCUUCUGUACAAUCCAUGAAUUUUUUUUUUUUUUUAAAAAAAAAUUAUUUUAGAAGGAGAAGAAGUUAAUUACUCAAGCACUGGGAAAUAUGUACAAAAGAGGGUUGGAGCCAGCUUCAUUUUGUAGCAAGAUUUGUUCAAUUGGGAGGUUACAUUAUAUGGUCAAAAGAAGGUUAGUCCUAGUUUUUAGUUUGAGUAGAGUUCUGUGGAUGAGAUUUAGAGGUAGAGAAAAAUAGGAGUGUGAGUAUAGUGUGUGUGACAAGUGGAAGGAGAAGAAGAAGUUAAGGACUUUUUCUACGACAUUGUCACGGUGGCGCUGCGCUGUGAACAACCAAACGGACGGCGGAGAAUGAUAAAUGUAUGGUAGGAUAGUUGUUUAUUUACAUUCUCUUCUAGGUAGAGCUGCGUACUAAAGAUGCCGAGUAUAUUUUGCGGAGUGAGUGGAGGAGUAGUGAAGAGUGUUUUUCUCUCGUCCGUCCAGUGAAGUAGAAAAGUAAGAGUGGUUCUAACUGCUGACUUGUUUUUGUCCCUUCAAUUUCAGGUCAAGAAAAUUAAACUCUGUGUUUCUUGUUUGUGCGUUGGUCUUAGCUACUUUCUCGCACAUUAGUAUUACAAACCAAUUAAAACUUUUAGAGGUCUCUUUAGGAUUUCUAAAACAAGCAAUCAGUCCAAAAAAAAAUUUUUUUUUUUUUAAAAAGAGAGAGAGAAAGGCCUAUGGUUUAUUUUUUAUUUUUUUUUUGACAUAAGAUCAAGCCCGUCAUUAAUUAAUUCUAAAAGCUUAGAAGGUUGUGAUGCAUCAUUUUUUUUUUUUUUUGCUUGGUAUUACAUGGCUACAAUUAAAACUUGAAAGUUAAUUUUAAAGCACAAAGGAGAAUUCACAUGCUCUAAUCAAUCAUAUUUGAAGUCUUAUAUCUAGACAAAAGCUUGAAAAUGAUAGAAUUCACGAAAUGACAGCACUUAAAAUUUCAAGAAGAUCAAGGUUCUAUCAGAAUACUAUUAGAGAUAUUUAUUAGUGUACACAGGUAAUCGAAAUAGAGGUUUAUUAUUUUUUAACCCCUUUCAGGAAGAGAAAAAGCUGGCCUAAGUCAUUCAAAGGAUCAACGAAAAUUUUGAGAUCAUGAGUUAAGUCUGACAAUUUUUGAAUUUAGACUAAUUUUAUAUUACUUCCUAGUAUUUCUGAAUUAAUUAUUUUUUUAUUAUUAAUCUCAUCACCAUUUUGGGUUGCUUGAGAUCAAAUAUUUGUAGAACAAAUUGGCCAGAAAUUGGCAUAAUUCUUCAUCCUCAAGAUCCCACUUCAUUGAUUGCAAUAGUAUAUGUUUGGCCACAAUCCAACAGAUAAACGGUCCCCUUAGCCUGACUGAUAAUUUCAAUUCACCCCUGUGCUUGCCAGCUACAGAAUACACAAGAUUAUUCAAAAAUUAACAGAUGAUAUGUAACGUGAGCCAGGCUUCCAAUCAGCUGGAAUCGCCUGUUGAGCCACAAGCCUUCGUCUGGAUUCAGCUUGUGUCAACCUGAUGGAAAACGGCCCAUUUGUCCUCUUUGGUAUGUUGUACUUGUAUGUUGCGCCAAACACUUGUUGCAUCGGAAACCACCGCCGGGAUCCCGCCGCUUGGAUCUCCACAGAAGCAACGUCUCCAUCACCAUUUUCGUACUCAAUUGCAGCAGAAAAGUAGUAUCGAUUGGAACCGGGGUCGACUUUGAACGCAAUCUUCUGAUUAGCAUAGUUGCAUGGCACCCUUUACAUUUGCACGAGUCAAUCCCGAAAAUUACUUCAGGAACAAUAAUAUAUUUAUUGUACAGAAAAAAAAAAUUGUCUUCUAUUUUAUCCCUGAAAUUUACUGGCAAAAACUUCAUUGCAAGUCUGCUAUUUGCUCACCUUUGAAAAUGGACGUUGAUUCUACCAAGUUUGCGCAAAGCAUCGGCCUGGCCUGGCUUUGCUAAGUAACCAAAAGCAGUUGAACUGAAAUCAAAAUGAACAGGAUCAUUGUUGCAGGCAUUGGGACACUCAUCUGUGAUUGUUAUCUUGACCGGAGAACCAGAGCAUGCCCUAUAAACGUUUGCACUGCAUAGCACCUGAAAUUGCAUGCACGUGUCAUUUGAAAACCAAGAAACCAUCCCGGGUAUAGUUAGCUAGCUCAAAUAUCAAGCAGGCAUUCUUUAAAAAAAGAAAAAAAUUAUAGGCUGCUCUUGAUUGCUGCAGAUUUUGCAAUAUUGGAUGGGUUUAUAGGAUCUAACCAUUUUGCCAAUCGAAAAAUCUAAAAUUCAGACACAGAAAAAAUACAAGGGCAUGAUACAAGACACUGAUUUCUUGAAAUUAGGAAAAAAAAUUAGGUGAAAUACACGCCGUAUCACGAUUUAAGCUACCAGUGACCAGCAUUAUAUAAGUAACUUAUACAAGCCAACAAAAAUGUGCAGAGCAGUAAGCAUUUACCGCAUAGCAAUUGCCGCAACCUUUGCCCUGUUUAAAUAGGGCUCGGUUUCCAGCAGCUAUCUUGCUUGAGAAAGGCGGCUGAGCAAUGUCAUUUUCAUUUCCAAAUCCGCAUGCUCCGCCUGUGUGAAUCAAAAUGAAAAUAAAUUAUUUGAACAGCAGAUUUGUAGUUAAGUGCGUCUUGUAAAAAAUGCAUAUAUACCACUCCCUUCAUAAAAUGUUGCUACUGCCGAUGAAUAACCAGCUAGAGUUACAUUAAGCGACCUGGCACUUCUGCAAGAACAAAAACUGGACAAAAAUGACAUGAUGACGAAGAAGGCAGACAAAAAACAAUUUUUGAGAGCCAUGCCGAAUAUUCGUCACUGUAAAACCAACAGGAUGCGCAAGUAAUAUAUCUUCUGUUUGGUACUAUAUAUGCUGUGGAGUCAAGUGCUUGUGUAGAAAUUAAUUUAGUCAGUCUUGAAUUUGGAUGAACACACUCAAGGAUAUUAAAACCUUGCCAUACAGGAAUUUUAAAAUCCAUAGGUUAUUAACGCAUGAACAUCUAUGCUGCGAGUCAAGUGCUCAUAUAGAAAUUAAUUUAGUUACUCUCUUGAAUUUGGUUGAACAUAUUCGAGAUAUAAAACCUUGCCAUAUACGGAUUUUAAAAGGCAUAGGCUGCCGUAACUUGUAAUACAUGAAGAUGGGAUAUACAAACAACUUGAAAUCAUGUACCUGGUCUUGGUGACUGAAGCAUUGAAAUUUCAAAUUGAAAGUAUUAAAUCACUUAGCUAAUAGCUAGUAGAAAAGAUAUCCUCCAAUUUAAUGCUUUACAAAUUUGGCUGGUUAGAAAAUAACACUAAAUGGUUUUAACAUCCCAAAUUUACAUCAUUAAAGCUACUUUUAUUGUACUGUAAUUUAAAUGAACACAUAAAAAUAGUUUAUCCUCUAACUUUCAACCAAUAUAUAAAAUCGUAAGUAUGCUGAUUUUAUGGUAAUCCUUCAAUACCAAUACUAAGCCAUUUCUGAAAUCAAAUGAUGACCACAAAUGUGAGAUAAAAGGUGAUUGAGAAAUGUAUUCAUGAAAAUAUAAAAAUUUUUCUGCAAAAAAUCACAAUCCAAACAAGGUCUUAGUAGUUAGAGUUUUAUGUGUCUUUUUUUGGGCAAAUUACAUUUUACCCCUCUGCGAUUCAGCGUUUUUUUACAUAACCCACUUAUGGUUUCAAAAGUUAUACAUAACUAUCUCAUGGUUUGGAUUAAAGUGUCAUAGUGACAGAAAUAGUCAUUCGUAAAGGAACUUCUAAAAAUGUCGAAAUUACCUUAUAAAUACAUGACACACUAAUCCCGUAUGAUUUUUAUAUUUUACCAUGUAACCCUCUUAUGAUUGCAUACCAUUACUAAGCCAUUGCUGAAAUCGCAUAUCUUGUUACCUUUACCUCUAUAUUACAAAAAAUUUUGUUUUAAAUUUGAUUUUAAUAAGCAUAAAAUUAUAUUCCAAUAUCCAUUAACAAUUUCGAUAACAUCUCGAUGAAAUGAGGCUAAUGAUUACCAUAUUUCCUAGUAAGUGUUGGUUUUACGUUAUAAAAUUCAAAGUCGGAUGAAUGAUAUUAUGUUAAACACGUCUUACAACUGUGCAAGAAGAGCCUUGUGAUUAACAAUAAUUUUUUCUAUAUAUCUGCUGCACCCUAUUUUCAAGCUUAGCAACUCAGUCAUGAGAUUGGAAUAUAGAUUACAUUACCAAGCUAAUCUUCAAUUGGUUUUGUGAAACGUUAGCAACUUCCCCGGUAGAUAAUUGUGGCAAAACAAAUUUGACAUGGCGCUGCAAUUGUGAAAUGAGCUUUCUCCUCAUAUAAGCUUAAGACAAGCUUUAUGCAUGAUAUGCCCCGCUAAUCAAGACUAUCAAGGUAGUCUCAUUUAAAUUAAAAUAACAGGAUUAGCAUCCCAGGAUUCGAUGACAUGUAGUAAGCUGAAUUCGAUGCUUUUGGGGAUUUCACCUAAAAAUCAAUCUGUGCAUUUGCCUGCCAACAUCAUAAUAUAACUUAAAUAAUUUUUCUAGAAUAUCAACUUGAAUCUGCCACGUUGCAUACUGAAUAUCUUAGAUUUAUUGGGCAUGAUUUCAAUGAAAAUUUUCACCAGACAGAAAAAAUUAUCGUUUUAUUAAAAUAGUACUAAUCAAUGAACACUUAAUAGUGGCACUUUAUGUUGGUUAAUUUGGAUUUAAGGUUAGUCCUAGUUUUAGUUUGAGUAGAGUACUGUGGAUGAGAUUUAGCGGUAGAGAAAUGCAAAAGGUGGAGGAUCUAAUAUGUUAACAACACUGGAACAGGAAGUUAAUAUUUCGUCACUUCAAUAAAGAAGAUGCAGAGCGAAUACUGAAGAUUCUUCUAAGCUUAUCGGGGAGAGAGGAUAGGCAUUACUGGUUGCAUGCGGCUAAUGGGGAGUAUACUGUCAACUCGGGCUACAAAACACAGAUAGAGAACAAUGCAUUGCAACAGGAGAAGCAGGCACAGGGAGUUGGUACUAGUUGGGAAAGCAAUAGUCGCCAGAUGUGGAGGCACCUAUGGAAGCUGACAAUCAAGCACAAAUUGAAACAUUUACAAUGCUCUUCCAGUCAAAGAAGCGAUCUUCGAGGGAACUAAAAUGGGGGAUCCUUUGUGCAAGGGGUGUGGUACUGUGGUGAGAAGGUGGAAACUGUGGAGCAUAUGCUGUUGGAAUGCACCAAGGCUAAGGAAGUUUUGCACAUAGCCCCAUGUCAGUGGGAUGGGGAGCAGGACCAGCAAGGAUAUUUCCAGAAUUGGUGGAGUACAAUUACAGAAGCAAGGUACAGGCGGUCAGGAAAUGACCACAUUGCACUAAAUGCUAACAUCCCAUGGCAAAUUUGGAAAAACCGAAAUGAAAGACAGUUCAAUGACAAGUGCCAGAUAUCUUUAAAGAUCAUACAAAAGGCACUGGGAGAAUGGAAGGAAUUUGAUGAAGCAUUGAGCAGAAACAAUGGGUUGAGCACAGCAGAAACAGUGGCCUCUAAAACCUUACCUCAGCAAGAACAGAAUGGAGAUGAAAUGGUACAGCUAAGAGUGCAAAUUAAAACACAAGUGGAAAGCCACAAUCUUGGGAUAGGAGUGGUAGCAACUGAUGGCAAGAACAAUGUCUUGGAAGCUUGGGCCCUGAAGGAGAGAAGUACAGGGAUGGCAACAUUAGAUGAAGCAGUAGCGGUCAAGCUCACUCUCAGCAAAGCUGCAAUGAAGCAAUGGAGAAAAACUGAGGCCCAAGUUGAGAGCAAACAGCUCAUACGACAGCUCACAAGUGAACAAGAUGAGGACAUCAGGCUGUCUGCCUUAAUGGAAGAUAUACAGGACUUGAGAAAACUGUUUCAUAUGUGCUCCUUUUGGCCGGUUGGUAUAGAUAUUAAUCAUGUACACAGUCGAAUCAUUAGCUCCUAUGCCUUAGGUAUAAUUCAAGAUAAGGAAUGCAUAAAUCCUCAGUGUCAGGGUACACUCUUUGUAUAGAUCUGUCGAGCUUUGCUUGCAAUUAUAAAGUUUAUACUAUUAAUACAAUCCUGUUAUCGUUUUGAAAAAAAAAGAUACCAAGACCAGGCGCAUGAUAUCAAGUUGUCUGUAUAUCCCAUCUUCAUGUAUUACAACCUAUGUCUUUUAAAAUUAGUCUAUGGCAAAGUUUUAUAUUCUUGAGUUUGUUCACCCGAAUUCCCAUGGUGCAAUAGAAGAGAAGCCGAUGCAACUGUGUAGUUAUGAUUAGAUCGUGCUCUAACAAACUCCGGGUGGCAAAAUCUGUUUCCAGGAAAUGUGGCUAAACAUCUGGCGGCCUCUCACUGAGACCAUGUUCCAACUAAGGUGGAGAUAAGACAGAAACGUAGAAGACUUCUUAGAUUUGAAGCUACAUGGUUACGUGAUGAUGACGAAUCUAGUCAAUUGAUUAGUCAGCACUGGAAAAAUGAUGAAGAUGAUUUGGUUGAGCGUGUGUGCAGAAGUGUAUCUGAUAUGGAGGUUAUUUUAGGCGGUUGGGGUAAAAGGAAAUAAGGGAAUUUUAGAUUUAAUGCAGAUGAUUUUGCAAACUGGUCAAGAAAUGGAGAGAGAGAGAGAGAGAGCUGAUUGUGACCAUCUUGUGGAUGAUAUGGUACGCAAGGAAUAGCAGAAUAUUAUUUGAAGGAUAGGUAAUGAGACCUCAAGUGGUGGUUGAGUGGGCUAAAUCAUAUUUAAUGGAGUUCAUUAAAGCUCAGGAAGAAAGCAAGUUUUCUGGCUCAAAGGAAUUGAUUGGGCAGUGGCAUCCUCCAGAGCAAGGCCUUUUGAAGAUCAACGUUGAUGCAGCACGGACUCCAGAGGAAGUAGGAAUUGGUGUUAUUGUCAGAGAUGAUGAAGGACAAAUCAUGGCAGCAUUUGAGGAAAGAAUCGGUAAAACUUCAUCUGCUGAAUUUUCUGAAAUUCUUGCUGUCAUUAAGGGUUUAGAAUGGGCUAAGGAAGUUGGAAUUGACGUUGACUCCUGAAAUUGACUCUAUCAUUGUCGUUCAAAAAUUGAAUAGUGAUAGAGCGGAGUUCUCUUAUUCGGAGAGCUGGCUGGAUAAGGCUCGAAUGUUAUAUGAUAGCUUUGAAUGCUGUAAGAUUUUCCACGUGUGUAGAACUAGAAAUGUGCCAGUUCAUAGUCUAGCAAACCUUUCUCUUGGAUUAGUAGGUAGAAUUGUACGGUGGAAUGAUUUCCCUCCAUCUUUGGGUAAAGCUGUAAUUGGAGAUUUGAAUGAAUGAAUGAAAUGUUUUUUACAGUCAAAAAAAAAAAAAAUUCAAGAGUGACUAAAUUAAUUCCUAUAUAAGCACUUGAUUCCCCAGCAUAGUACCAAUGAGAAAAUUUAUUAAUACUUGCUUAUUCUGUUCGUUUUACAGUAACAAAUAUUCCGCAUGGCUCUCAAAAAUUGUUUUCUGUCUUACUUCUUCGUUAUCAUGUCAUUUUUGUCCAGUUUUUGUUCUUGCGAAAGUGUUGGGUCGCUUAAUGUAACCCUAGCUGCUUAUUCAUCGGCAGUGGCAACAUUUUAUGAAGGGCGUGGUAUGCACUUUUACAGGACACACAUAACUAUUGAAUGUCAUAAUCUGCUGUUCAAAAUAAUUUUAUUAGAAGAUAAUAUAUCCUCCCUUCUUUGUAAGAAAAUACAAAACGAAGAUAGCCUGUUAAGAUAUUGCAAUCAUUAAUUCUUAGUACUGCUCUUAAUGUGCCACAAAUAUUAUCAAACUAGGCUAUAACAUGCAUUUCUAUGAGAUCCAUUUAUUUUCAUUUUGAUUCACACAGGCGGAGGAUGUGGAUUUGGAAAUCAAAAUGAUAUUGCUCAGCCACCUUUCUCAAGCAAGAUAGCUGCUGGAAACCGAGCCCUAUUUAAACAGGGCAAAGGCUGCGGCAAUUGCUAUGCGGUAGAUGCUUACUCUGCAUGUUUUUGUUGGCUUGCAUAAGUUACUUAUAUAAUGCUCGUCACUGUUUAGCUUAAAUCGUGAUACGGCGUUUAUUUCACCUAAUUUUUUUUCCUAAUUUCAAGAAAUCAGUGUCUUGUAUCAUGCCCUUGUAUUUUUUUUCUGUGUCUGAAUUUUGGAUUUUUCGACUGGCAAAAUGGUUAGAUCCUAUAAACCCAUCCAAUAUUGCAAAAUCUGCAGCAAUCAAGAGUGCAAAAUCUGCAGCAAUCAAGAGCGGCCUAUAAUUUUUUCUUUCUUUAAGAAUACCAACUUGAUAUUUGAGCUAGCUAACUAUACCCGGGAUGGUUUCUUGGUUUUCAAAUGACACGUGCAUGCAAAUUCAGGUGCUAUGCAGUGCAAACGUUUAUGGGGCAUGCUCUGGUUCUCCGGUCACGAUAACAAUCACAGAUGAGUGUCCCAAUGCCUGCAACAAUGAUCCUGUUCAUUUUGAUUUCAGUUCAACUGCUUUUGGCUACUUAGCAAAGGCAGGCCAGGCCGAUGUUUUGCGAAAACUUGGUAGAAUCAAUGUCUAUUAUCAAAGGUAAAUUUCAGGGAUAAGAUAGAAGACAAUUUUUUUUCUGUACUAUAAAUAUAUUAUUGUUACUGAAGUAAGUUUCGGGAUUAACUCGUGCAAAUGUAAAGGGUGCCAUGCAACUAUGGUAAUCAGAAGAUUGCGUUCAAAGUCGACCCCGGUUCCAAUCGAUACUACUUGUCUGCUGCAAUUGAGUACGUAAAUGGUGAUGGAGACGUUGCUUCUGCGGAGAUCCAACCGGCGGGAUCCCGGCAGUGGUUUCCGAUGCAACAAGUGUUUGGUGCAACAUACAAGUACAACAUUCCAACGGGGACAAAUGGGCCGUUUUCCAUCAGGUUGACACAAGCUGAAUCCAGACGAAGCCUUGUGGCUCCAAAUGCGAUUCCUGCGAAUUGGAAGCCUGGCUCACGUUACAUAUCAUCUGUUAAUUUUUGAAUAAUCUUGAGCAUUCUGUAGCUGGCAAGCAAAGGGCUGAAUUGAGAAUAUCAGUCAGUCUAAGGAACUGUUUGUCUGUUGGAUUGUGGCCAAACAUAUAUUAUUGCAAUCAAUGAAGUGCUAUCUUGAACAUUAAGAAUUAUGCCAAUUUGCUCCAGAAACAUUUGAUCUCAAGCAGCCUAAAAUGGUGAUGAGAUUAAUAAUAAAAAAUAAUUAAUUCAGAAAUACUAGGAAGUAAUUUAAAAUUAGUCUAAAUUCAAAAAAUUGUGAGACUUAACUCAAAAUCUUUAAUUUUUGGGACCAAAAUUUUCGUUGAUCCUUUGAAUGAUAUAGGCCAGCUUUUUCUCUUCCUGAAAGGGGUUAAAAAAAUAAUAAACCUCUAUUUCGAUUACUUUUGUACACUAAUAAAUAUCUCUAAUAGUAUUCUGUUAGAACUUUGGUCUUCUUGAGAUUUUAAUUCCUGUCAUCUCGUGAAUUCUAUCAUUUUCGAACUUUUCUCAAGGUAUAAGUCCCUGAGACUUCAAAUAUGAUUACAGCAUGCAAAAUUCUCCCUUGUAAAGUUUUAAUUGUGGCCAUGGAAUACCACGUAAAAGAAUUAAUUUGGUCCAUCGCAACCUUCUAAGUUUUUAGAAUUAAUGACGGGCUUGAUCUUAUGUCAAAAAUAAAAUAAAAUUAAACCAUAGGGCUACUUGUAUUGUACUGUAAUCUAAUUAAACACAUAAAAAUAGUUUAUCUACUAACUUUCAACCAAUAUAUAAAACGGUAGGUAUAUUGAUGUUAUGGUAAUCCUUCAAUACCAAUACUAAGCCGUUGCUGAAAUCACAUGCUGAAAAUGAUACGACUGACUGAGGUUGGACCAAUAAUUAAUUAGUUAGAUGUGAGCAAUUAACAUAAAAAGGAAGCACUAAUUAACCUUUGAUAAAGAAUAUUGAUCCUGCUGGCACUGCGCAGCAAUUGAUCUGCUUGGCAACGCUUUGCCAAAGUCCCUAAAGCAGUUCCACUUGGAUCAAAAUGAACAGGAUCACCAUUCACCGCCGCAGGAACCGCCGCACUGAUCAGUGAUGACUACAGUUAUUGCAGAACCAGAACAGGCCGAAUUGGACGCUGUUGUGCAUAACACCUAAAAUUGGGAUCCAUGCAUGCGUAUCCUCAACUUAUUAGUAGAGGCAAAAUAACUUGAAAUGUCUUAUCACUGGCUAAGAAUAUCUCUUGCCUUGUCUUGUCACAAUUUUGGUUGAGACUGGAGAUAUUUUUUAGGUAUAUUAGAAUUUUCGAUGAGGUAAAGGUCUACAGGAUUCUAUGAUGUAGUAAAGACAAUUAAUAGAUGGAUAAUUAAUUAGUACCAAAUAGCAACUUCCACAGCCUUUGCCCUGCUUAAAUGAAGCUUCAUUUCCAGUGAUAAGAAAGGUGGCUUCUCCACAGCAUCUUCAUAUCCACAAGCUCCUCCUACUCACCGAAUUAACCAUUGAAAUUUUCAAACUUAUUACUGCUUAAAUGAUGGGCGGUUCAUCAAGGUUUAGAACAUUGAAUGUUAAUUACUUUUACCUAAUUCACGCUUUUUAGUCUUUGACAAAAAGAAAUCGCUCCGAAAACCAACAGCUUUGCCCUUUGUGAUUUUUUUUUUUAAUUUUUUACUGUUUCAUUCUUUAAUUAGUUGUAAAUGUUAGAUCUGAGUUGUCAAAAAGAAAAUAAAAAUGUUGCUUGCCUCUACAAAAUGUAAUGGAAAAUUCUUUGUCACACCCUAAACUAAUUUUAUUAUAAUGUUCGCUUGAAAGGAAAAUAUGCAUGAAUGACAAUACAAUGUGAAGAGCUGGAAUAUAACAUUUGUGUCACCAUAUACGAACCAGUGCUGCCUGCUCCAUGGGGAUCCCCAUAAAAUGUUGCAACGGCAGGUGAAAAACUAGCUAAAGAUUGAGAAGCAUUAUGUGACUUGACACUCCUGGAAGAACUAAAUGUAGCAAAAGACAGUGAGAAAAGACCUAUGAAAGUUAGCAAAAGAGAAAUCUCAUGCAACCAAGGCUGGGUGGGGUGGGAGGCACACUUAAAGUGGCUUGGUUUCAAAAAAAUUUCAGGCGAGUGUACUGUAAUACACCCGUCUGGUCUGAUGGUGGUUCAACCAUUUCUGGAUUACCCCUGGACCUCCUUAGCAUACUAAGAGCCAUCUAAACAACAAUUUACUUUGUAAAAAACUGACACGAAGCUAGAGCAACUUUUAUUGCUUCUGUUCUGAUGAUUAAAGGAUAGAAAACCACCAUAUAUACAAGAAUGAUAACAAGAGAUACUUCCGCUAUUGUUAAACUAUGUCUAUUCUAUCAUGGAUUCUACAAAUAGAUUUACAGCAUAAAAAGAAAAGAACGGUGUGUGUAUGUCGAGAAGACUUUAAUCAAGUGGCUAAAAUUAAGAUGUCAAAACUCACAAAUUCUAGGUCCUAAUUUUCAUUCCUUCUCUCCAUUUCUUAAAUCUCACCCCAAGUCUUGAGUUCUAAUUUCCAUUCCCCUUUCUCACUUUUUAAAUUUCACCUCUUUCUUUCUUAAUUUUUUUUAAGGAAAAGUAAGUUUACAGUUGACUAUUAAUGAUAGAGAUUUUCGAAUUCAAAAGGUAGUUUGAGGGGACUAAAUUGAUUCGUGUAAUCUGAGUUUGAAAGAUUUAGGGACUAGAUGAAUCGCAACUUCUGCAAUAAAUUAUCCAGUUCCUAAAUUCCUUAUUUGCACAGCCCCAAAUGGCUCAUUCGAUCAAUGAAGAUUAUGUGCAUAAAAGAGGUAAAACCUUAGGACCGUGAUGCAUCACAAAUAAGAUUCAAUUGAACAUACGAGGGGCAAUGUGAUGCAACCAUCUUUUGAGAGGAGUUUGGUUAUCGAAAAAACAAAAAAAAAAAAAAAAUUUUUUGGGUGGGGGCGGGUGGUUAGAUUUAAGCCUAAGUCUACUGUUUAGGCCCAAGUUUUGAUGGGUUGAGUGGACCGAACAAAUCGAGUUUGGAUUAACUUGGUCCAUCGACGAUUGUACCCUUUGCCCCUCUGUGUAGGCUGUGUACGUUUCGGACACAAUUUUGUACAAGUAAUCGAUUUGGAGAAGUGCAAAAAGCGACCAAAUGAUAUCACUCGUAACAAUUCCAUAAUCUCGCAUAUUCAUAGAUUAUUAGGCGAAAUUUCUUACAAAUCUUUCUGCAGUUUCUGGAGCUUUAUCAUACAGGAGUAAUUUUGUCUAAACAUGUAAAGAAGAGAGGUUAAAUGCUUGUGAAAAAUAAUUAAGGAAAUCAAUGCAACUCGACGGUGGUUGACGUGCACUCUAUAAAUGCAAGCAACAGAAAUUAGUAGUAUUAGAUUUAUUUUUUGGACAGUCCGGAAGGAUUCUAAGAGCCCUCUCCUCAAUCACUGAAUCGACCAUAAUGAUUUAGUAGUACUAGUUUCUAUGCUAUAUUAGCAACAUUUAUCUUUUUGUUUUUUUUUAGGAGGUAGGAAAGCAACAUUUAUCUUUGCUCCAUAAUGAAGUUUUUCCAUUUAUGUCAGCUGAAAAGGAAAAAGGAUGCAAGUGUCAACUAUUACUAAUACAGAUCUAUAGAGUUACUAGUAGAACCUUAUUUCCUUGACGAUGUACUCAUCAUCCAUUUUGCUCUAAUAAAAACUAUGAGCUGGUUCUUAUAUUCCUUAAACCUAGGCAUUGAAAUUUACAACUGAUCUAUAAGUGCUUCCAGGUUGCCAACCAGCAGGGAUGACAUUGUUUGCCACCAGAGCGGCGCCGGAUUCUGCUGUUAGCUUAAUUGAAAAUGGAGCUUGCAAUGUAGAACCCGUGUCCAAUUUCCAAACAGCACCCCAAGAUUGCUGCAUGGGAAGCCAUGAUUCCGAAUCCAGUGCUUGUUUGAGUUGAACCCCCGAAAGUUCACCAUCCCCAUCUUCGAAUUCAACCAAUGCGGCAAAAUAGUCGGGAUUGGAGCCAGCAUCGACGUGAAAGGCCACAGAUACUCCAGGAUAGUUACACGGAACCCUGUUCAGAAUUGAAAAUUGCAUUAAUGAAAAAAUGUCGAGUAUGAUGUUCUGUUGUUAAUACUAUAUAUAACAAACGUCAUGGUGUCAUCUCUCUUGGAAAAUCAGGUUAUGAUGACACUAAUCAGAUUACGACGACCUUCAUUUAGUGAUAAACAUGCUCCCAUAAUUUUUGCCAUACGACUGACUGUCCAUUUAGUUUGAAUUUUUAGCUUUGUACUUCGAAUUGUCAAUCUGAUUGGAGCAUAUUUUUUUGACUUGGUACGUCGUAGGGUAUUUGUAGCAUGACCUUAGUCAAUUUCGAGCAGUAAAAAUUAGUCAAGAAUGACGGAAACUUUCGUCUGGAAAAAGAAGAAUAUCUGAUUUCUAACCUCUUAUACUGUAUUUGUAAGACUCCGGCAUUGCGCAAUUCAUCAGCUUCGCCGGAAGUGGCCAUGGCUCCAAAAGCUGUGCCACUUAAAUCGAAGUGAACUGAAUCUGAGACGCAAGGACCUCCUGGACAUUGAUCGGUUAUAACCACAGUAACAGGAGAUCCUGAGCAUGCUCCAUUAACAUCUGCUGUGCAUUUAACCUGAAGAUUUGUACGUAGUACGAAGCAAAAGAAAACUACGCAUAAGACAGCCAAAAUUAAGUACGCACAAUUGCAUAAAAAGAUGUAACAUUUUAUACGGAUUUAGAAUUUUCUGAACAACUUAAUAUUCUUGUGUGUCUUGUGGCAUGCACCUGAUAACAUGCUCCACAACCUUUGCCCGAGUCAUAGAGGGAAGGACCUCCUGCCGAUAUUAAAGAAGAGAAUGGUGGCUGAUCAACCGCACUGGUGUAUCCACAAGCCCCACCUACAUUGUUGAUUGAAAAAAGGAGUUAUCGGAAUUAAUUCUCUGAUUUUAUGUCGGAAUAUUGUUGGUAAACAGGUUUUCUUCUUUGAGCUCAAGCUAAUUAAUGUACGUAAAUUCAUAAGUGUAAGGCGUAUAAUACUUAAACAAUAAAAACACAGAAUCUUGUAAUCUCGUUGUUUAUUACAACCUCAAUAUGAGAAUUAUACGUUAACAACAGUUCAAGUUGAGAUGAUUUUGCCCGGAUGAGAUACAUGUACCUCAUCGGGCAAUCGGGGACACAGUUAUAUAUCAUUUUUUGUUUUCGUUCUCUUACCAUCACUUCCUGCACCAGUAGGGCUUCCAUACCAGGUUGCACCAGCGGGUGACCAAUCAGAUUGGGAUUGGUAUUGAAUUUUCGAUAUAUUAAGAAGCUUGGGGUUGAAGCAAGAGCAGAAGUUUGUAACCAGGAAAAAGAGAGUUAAGUAGGAGGAAAGGUAGAGGAGAUAAUUAGUUGCCAUGAUGAAGGGAUGAAGGUCGCUAAAAAAUCAGUGCUCUAUAUAUCUAUCUAUGCUUUAGGUUUGAUGGAUUUGGUUUGAUUGGAUUUUGAGAAUUUCGCUGCUAUUUAUAGAGGCCAGGCUCCCAAAGAAGCCAAGCUUCAGUCCCGCAUAUUGUGGUGGAACAUGAGAAUUUUGCCAUGUGCAAUAUGUUCUACAAAGCAUAUACUAUACACUGAUACAGUAUUAGAGAUUUGACUACUGUAGAAUCUGUUAAAGACUAAAAGAUUUGCAGUUAUUGACCAUGAAUAUGGUCUUCGUUCUUCGUGUACUUAUUUAUGGGGCAUCAAAAUUAGCACUAUUAAUUCCUAAUGAGUGGCACUGUUGUGGCAAAUUAAUUUGACUCUUUGUUCUUAGAGCCUUUUCCGCCGUCAGGUUUAAGAGGAUUGGAAUCUUAUAUCUGAUAGUUGGAGGUGAGACUGAGCGUAAAAAAGGGUGAGAGGAUUAAAAAAAUUUGACUCCUUGCCAAAUAAUAAUGUAUCAGAAUUACUUUAAAAUAGUACUGGAUCACAAUCCGAAUCAUGAAUAAAUGCUUGAUUUAAGAAAAAUGUAACUGAUAGAUAAGAUCCUCUGAUGCUAAAGAGAGCACUAAGCAACAGAAAAUCAAGGGCCAAUUCCACGUCAAUACGUCAUCGUAAUAUCAGCAUGAAGAAAAAUUUAUGGAGUCCGAUGUAAGAGGCGCUAACUGAAGGGAGAGGGACAUGCAUGGAGGUUUCUUUCUCUCUUUUUUUUUUUUUUUUGGGUUGAAAAGACUGGAGAAACUAGUCAAAGUUUUAAAGAGAUUUUUGCAUGACUUGAAAGCUUGAGGGAUGGAAUUGGUUUAUACGUGACAAAUGCAAGGGAUCCAGGAGAAUUACAAACAUGGAAAAGAUUACUUUCGCAAAAAAACAUAAUUAUGUAUAUCAACUAAUUACGUUCAUCAAUUAGUUAUGAGCUUAAUGGAUAUCAAUUAAUAAUGGAAAAAUUCCGAAUUCUACGGUUCGAAUUAACUGUGGCAUAGAAUUCAGAAGAUAGAUACGAUAUGAAUAUUGGAUUAAGAACCUUAACGUAUUGCUAAAGGCUUAGCCUUUAUGUAUUCAAACCCGUAAUGCCUCUCUUUGCAAUAGGGAGAAAUUUGACCCAUUUUCUUGGACUUUAGCCAGGAAUGUUAAUUUGCUAUUCCAAAUACGUAAUUUUGAGGAGGAAAAUUUUCCAUUGUUCAAAUAUUUUUCGUUUUCUUUCUUCUCAAUAAUAUUCCCUUAAAAAAUAAUAUGCUCUCUUGCCUUACGAAGUGAAAUUAACAGGCAGACAUACCCUUGAAAGAUUUUUUUUUUUUUUCUCCACAAAUAAAUGAAAAUUGCAAAUUAUUUACAUGCGCUGCGACAAACAAGCCAAAAAGUCUAACCAGUAGAAAAUAUGUCCAAACAAAGACCCCGUUUUCAUGGGCCAUUCUCCCCGUAGAAUAUUUGGCGCACAUAACUGAAAAGGGGGACAUAAAUUGCCCAUAUGUUAGCCGUUAAUGGUGGUUUUGGCCGUUGGCCGUUGAAUCUCACGGUUAUGUUUUGGCCGUAUAUAUGAACUCCCCACAUGGCUGUCGCGCUCUAGCAUGAAAAAUUGAACCGUGAUUGCGUGCCUACUAUUUGCCUAAAGUCUCCCGGACUUCCACUCAAAGCAGAUUUUUCUUUUCUGCUUUUUGAAUUUUGGCGAUUGAGUGCCUGGUUAGAUUUUCUUUCUUCUCUCUUUUGAAGAAUCAUAUUUUUGUUAUAAAAAAAUAAGCUAUUUUUCAAUCAAACAGAAGCUAAUAUUCCUAUUAUUAAUAAACUAACUGAAAAUCGUUCAACACGAUUUAUUUGAUAAAGAAAACUGUAUUAAUGGCAAAAAAACAUGCAUAGAUCAUGCCACUAAUGUAUCGGCAAGUGACAUUGUUAGAGCAAUUAUUUUUCUACUAGAGCGUAUUUUAUUCAAAUGCCAAGAUUACCCUCCUCAAUCAAUCAACUUUUUAUAUGUUUAUUGAUUUUUCUAGGAUCCAUCAUCCAUUAAUUACUCAUCUUUUCUCUCUCUAAUUAAGCAUUUUUCCAUUAGGGCCUCUCACUCUUCUUCUUAUUAUUCUCACUUUUCUCUUUCUUACUCAGUACUCACACACUAAUAGAUCUACUAUUUUAUAAUUAAGUAUUUUUCCAUUAGGCUCUCUCACUCUUCUUCUUAUUAUUCUCACUUUUUUCUUUCUUACUCACACACUAAUAGAACUACUAUUUUAUAAUUAAAAAACAUGUUUUUUUUCUUAAUCUUUUCUUGUAUCUUUUUUGGUUCUAUGCGCUCUUGCUUUUUUUAUUCAAUUCUAAAACUUUGAUUUAUUCAUUUAUUUUCUUUUACAAAUAGAACCUCAUUUAACUCCAACAAAUUUCAGUUUAAAUUAAUUAUUAUUAUGAUGUCAUUGUAACUCAAUACUUUAGCACAAAAAAAAAUUUCUUGCAACAUGCCACUUUCCUUUGACUUUUUGUUCAUUUAUCAUGCCUCUAAGAAACUAAUACUGUUAAAGUUUUACCAUCUUUUUCUCUUUUAUACUUGUCAUGAAAAUCUUGAUUUUUAUCUUGUAUCAAGUAUUCACAUUUAUCAUAUAAGACUUGAUUUCUAUCAAGUAUUCAUAUCUCUAAUAAUUAGAUGAAGAUAAGUUUAAAUUACAUUAUCAAGUUUUCAUAUUCUCUAACAAUUAAAUGCAACUAAGUUUAAAUUACAUUACAUUAUAUAUCCCAUGAAUAUCGAAGGAAAAGUAAGGUUAUUUUUUGGUAUUAUUUUCAUUUUAAACUAUUAUUUAGUUUGACUUAAAUUACAUUGUGUUUGAAAAAAGAACCUUUUGAGUAAAAUUUUUUUAAAAAAAAAAGCUUGUAGAAUUAAUAUACAAGAAAUUAUCAAAGCCAAGACCAAUUUAGUAAAUCAUGAAAAUAAUUGAUGAAUUAGUAUGACAAAGAGAGAUACAGAGAGCACCCUGUCAGUGAGUAGAAAAAAAACUUUAAUUGAAAAGAGAAGAAGACGAGUAAAUAGUAUUUAAUGGAUCUAAAAAAAUGAAAAAGAAUAUAUGGAGUUGACCGAUUGAGAGUAAUCUUGACUUUUGAGGAAAUUUUGAUUUGGCAAGAACAUUAUUGCUCUCAAAAUAUCGCCAGUCCAAAUGCAUCUGAUCCGAUUUGAAAAAUUAAAGCUGUUCUAAUAAGAAAUAACUAAAAAUCAUCCAAAAAAUAGGCUGUAUAAAUUUGGUGCAUUAUUAAUUAUACAUUCUUAUAAAUACCUUGAUAACUAACGUCAUUAGCAUGUCUUGCUAAAUCAUGCGCUAUGGUAUUGCCUUUUCUAAACAUUCAGUUCAAAUCUUCGCCUUGAUAUAUAUUGGAGAGUUGUGAGGAAUCAAUUGGACCACUCAAAUUUGGUUUAAAGAAUCGUACACAUCCAUUAAUCAUGGAAUUACAAUGAGAUUGAAUGAUUGAUUUGUAUGUCGAUUCUAGUAUUCUUAAUAAUUAAAAAGUUGGACUUAGUUCAAUCAUUAAAAAUCAUUGUGCCUAAUUUUAGAAAUAAUUGUUGGUUCUCACUACGUCUAUUUCCUUAAUUAACCUUCCUGCUUCUUCUUUUCCGGAAUGGGCCAAACCUCCCAUGCUAACAAAUCUAAUCAACAAUGAAGAAAGAAAUAAAUUGAUAAUGAACGAGAUUAAAUCAAAAUUAAUUGUAAAUUAAGAUCCAUGUACAUAAACUGCUCUAGACUACUAUAGAUCGGAAGGAUAGAUAAUCAUGCUGGGUAAGACUUUACAGUAAAAAACACAUUAUGAACAUGCUUGAAGACUAAAAACUUUCGGACUUUCCAAGCAAAAAGGAAUACUAGACUAUCUCGAUCUAUUUUCCAUACUUGAACUUCCUUACAAGUAGAAUUCCUCCUAUCCAUCAUUGCAGAGUGACUAAUUUUCUUGUUAUGCAAGUACACGGCAACAAUUGUUUGUUGCGGGCUCAUUACUGUCUGAAGUAAUUCUAACGUGUAAGCGAAAGCAAGUUUAAAAUGAUUAAGUUUCAACAUACUUUAAUUUUUUGGUGAAUAGCGUAUGGAUUAGCUUAGUUUGAGCCUAGCAAUUUUGCUGUAAAACACCAUAUCAUGAUCUGCUUUUCUCGUUUUAAACAUAUCAUCUUUAUUAUGGAACUUGAGUCAAGUUAAAUGAACAUUUACGUGGGCUUGAAAGAUGGCAUGUUCUCAAUUAAGCCAAACGACAUGCUUCAUGUCAUGCUCCACAUCCAUACUGCUGGGGAAGAAGGUGACCAAAUAAAAAAGAUGGAGUUAAAUUAAAUGAACCCGUGGAGGAUACGUUAACUUUUUGUUCCAUCAAAUUUUAAGACAUUUUUUUCAUUUGACAACGUCAAAGUGACUGAAGAUGUAGCAUGUGGUUUUACUCAUUUCAGCCUAGGCACAGAAUAACUGUUUACAAGUGGCAUAUAUAUUAGGGAUGCCUGACUUGUAUUCCUCUUCAUUCAUCAGACGGUUGUAUUAGCUAAGUUCAAUUCAUUCAACUACGAAUUAACGUCCUCAGCCAAGGGUGAAUAGUUUCGUUGCUUUACUCCAUUAAAUUUUUUGACUUAUCGUUCAUGAUUUGCCUGAGAUGGUAGAAUUACGCAUUUCCUUUUGGACUAGGAUUUAUGUCCAUUUUUGUCCAUUUUCUUAGUUACAAAACUACUAAGUUGUCGGCGGAAAAAGAAGGUAGAUAUGAAAUAGCAUACUGCUACGCCAUUUUUUGGAUUAAGAAAGAAAAUAAGUAUGCGGAGUUUUUCUUUUUUCUUUUUUAAUUCAUAAAGAAAAGCAUAUCUUUUUUUAUUCUUUUUAUCAUGUGUUGUCAGACAUGCCCGCGGAGGGGAGGGGGAGGGAAAGGAGAGGACGGUUGGAUUGAAUGUAAGACUAUCAGUGGGGUUGGACCAACUCGAAAUCGACCCGUUCUAUCCGAAAAAAGUUCACUGAGUCUAAAUUUUAAUUGAGGUGGACAGCGAUUGGGGCUAAAUAUUAUAUCCGAACUAAAUUAAUAUGAGUCAAGUUUGGGCCAUACGAGACUCAAACACGAUUAAAGGUCAUAUGUGUAUAAUUAUAUAUGUAAUAUAUACAAUAAUAAUAUCCAUAAUUUAUAAUUAUCUAUACUACAUAUAAAGGGAGAGGAGGAGAUUUGGAGUAAAUAAAAAUUUGUCACUUAAUAUACUUCCUAAACUGCCAUUGAUGAUAAGGAAACUUUUGGUAGAAACAAAAAUAUAUCUUUCUUUGACAACUGCCAACUACCAAUAUGAUUUUUUACCAAGUAAUAUGUAUUAUUUCAUAUUCUAUUUUUCAACUUAUUUUAUAAAUCUUAAUUUUAAUUAGCAACUACCAAUUAUGGUUAUGACGAACUACCAAAUAAUUAAUUUUAUAACUUUUAUUUUGUUGAAUGUUUUACAUAUGUAUUUUCAAAAUAUAAAACCAAUUUUCUUGAAAAUGAUUUCAAUAAAUAUACUCAAAAUAUUUCACAAAUAUUUUUUUCUAUUAGUUGCAUACACAUUAGUGUGUGCCUUGAAUACUAGUAAAUAUUACGACAUACAAUGUUAAUAAUUUAUAUGUAAAUUUGUAUUAAUUCAUAAUUAUAAAAUAUAUAUUAUCUAUGAUUAUGUAUUUAAUUGUAAAUUUGGGCCAAGGCCCAAUUUGAAGUCGAAACUCAUAUAAUAGUAUGGGUUGAGUUUGACCCUUUUUAAUAUGAACUUGAAGGCCGAAAGCUAGAAACCCCACAAUCCAUGUAACUUGUGGGUCGAGUUUGAACUUGCUAAAAUUUGGCUCAAAAAAUCCGAUUGACACCCCUAAUUGAAUGAUAGGUUCUACUUUUAAAACCUCCCCACUUACCCUAAAAAUAUAUAUAUAUUCCGACAAAAGCCUGCAAGGUCCUUUUGGGUCAAGAAAAAUGGGGUGUUUCCUGGGCUGUCUUUUGUUUCUUUUGGAGGAUUUUAUAUGGGAAAAGCCCUCUUCACUUAUUUGUGCUCAAAACGGGAUCGAAGUACUUCUUGUGUAUGAACCCACGAGGUAUGGUCUGUGAACACAAGCGUGUGGGCCGGCCUAUUCGAAGUCCAAAGAAUAUAUGCUGAUCUUGGGAAUUCACGAGGAAUAUCGGUUCUACUAUUCUUCCAAGUCCUUGGCCUUGGGAUGUCUUUUGAUGGUCUUUCUAAUUUGGUCUUCACCAGGAUACAUUUCAUCCCCGCAGUGAAAUUGCCGGAGCUAUAUACCUUUUAAGUAAAAGUUUCUUGAGUAAAAACCUGCUGAACAUAAAUGUUGAUGUAGCAGAAUAUAAGCUAUCAGGGGAAGGAGGCAAAAGAACUUGAAUAGACUCAUCUUCAUUAGUUUUUUCAGCACCUGGAACUCUCUUCCAUAACAAAAGGCAAAAAUGAAAACAGACAGAACUGAUAUUUUAACAAUCCAAACUUGUUCAGUUCAAUCAUCGUGCGGUAUGAACACAAUUGAAUCGAACACUGGAAACCAUAUCUUGCAUUGCUUGUCGUUUUUCAACCCUAGGGCACUCAACCAGUAACAACCAUCAUGCCAUCUAAGCUUUAACUUGACAAAAAAAUAAUACUACUUCUGAUGAUCUUCGCAUUAACAAUAAUACUACAGUUAGGUGCAUGUCGCUUAAGUGACGUACCAAAACAUGAUUAAAGUUAAAAGUAGAUCCUACACACAAGAUAUAUUUAUAUGAUUCUAAAGCAUGAGGAACAUAAUGCCGGGAUGAGGAUUAGUCUGGACUCCAAAGCCAGUCGAAUGAUUAAUUUGUUCAAGUCUUCUUUUCGAAAAGGACAAAGUUUGACGAAUUUGUAUAUGAUUGAUUGAAACAAAUGGCUUGGAGAUGGUCAUUAUUCGUUCGAUGAAGUUAAUUAAAGAAUUCACUGCUUGUCGUUUUAUGAUACUUCUAGACUAGAGACGUAUGAACAACGCAGACAACCAAGGAUUAAUUAAAUAUAUGCCUUGGUGAAGACUUGUUCCAUUAAUUAAGGCAACCUAACAAGUUCUCCACGGUCGGAGCUGGAAGUGGAGAGGGUGAUUAGGGUGUUUUGGGGGGGGGGGGGAGGAGGGAAAGGAGGGCACGGAAUGUAUUACAUUUGCUGGCUAUUAGACUUCUUGUAAUUAGGUGGUUAACUAAGCUGAGGUGUGCAAGAAAAAACGUAAAAGCCUAAAACAUCAUCAAGGGGUUGACAAGGUGAUCAGGGGUCAAAUAUCAACAAAAUAACAGUGCAUAACUAGAGCUUGAUCUUACUAUAUAUUAUAGUUAGAUGACUAACAUUCAAAAUUUUCCUUCCCAGAAUUCAAGUGCUUGAUGUUCAUGAACUACCAACAAUCAAAGUUUGGUGAAAAAACUGGAAGAAUUUAUAGUUGUUGACGAAGUUAUGUAAUCUCUGACUAUCAAAUGUUACACCAAGAAAAGGGCUUGUGAAGCCACUGAGGACCUUGAUACUUGGAGCCUUGCUGAUUUUGAAGGCUAGUUGACGAUGUAUGAGAUGUGCCUAAAUCAGAGGUCUAGACACACAUAUAGUGGAGUCAGCGUUACAGGUGAAGAUAAACCAACCCAAAGAAAAAAGGGGAGGCAUCAAAUAUUGCAGAUACAAAACAACGGACCCAGGAUUUUUGAGGCCGUGGUAGAGGUAGUUAUUUUUUACCAGUGAAGAAAUAAAAAUUUUAAUAGAAAACAACAAAAUAUAGAGCAGAGUAAUCAACAAAAUAAUUUUAAAAGGCGAGAGAGAUCUAAAAUUUAGAGCCAUAAUUAUGGCAUAAGGUAGGUCACCAUCAAUGUGAAUGUUAGUCUAAUAGAUUUAACAAUAGAUAUGUGCAUGUUAAGGUGGUUGAAAAUAAUAGCAAUAAGCAGGAGCCUUUCUUGUGUUCUAGUUCUACAACUUAAAAACAUUGAUUGAUUUAUUAACUCUAGUUGUAGCAAUCAAAUGUGUGGGAAAAAGUAGCUCUGAUUUGGAUGAAUCUUUUCGUGUUUUUGUGAAAUUUCAGAAUAAUGAAAGGAUAUCUAUUCCCGAAAAGAAAAGAUUCAAAUUAUUCAGCAAAAUGGAUUUUCUACUUUUAUAUUAUUUGAUUCCAAAGGUGUAUCGUAAUUGUUGAGCUUGGGAGGGUUGUCUACAAAAAAGGUAUGAUAUGCACUUUUAAAUAUGGUAAUGGUCCUAUCAAUGAUCAUAAGUUGUGAUUAAUAGUUGUAGAAAGAAUGAACCGCAGUCCGAUGUAAAUGAGAAUGCAAAAACAUCCAGUUAAUUUUCCGUCUUUCUUUAUGUUACAACUUUUUGUCAAUUUCAUCUUUCUUGUUUUGACCAUAAUUGAAUAUUCCCCUUACAACAAAAAUUGGGCACAGAUAGAAUGAGUAAAUCUUAUAUACACUGACCGACAGUGUAUACACUAUCAUCGUUUGAUUCAUAACAUGUGUGUAAAAGUUGAAUUUUAAAUUCAAAUUUUACAUAAUUGUCAUUUAUCCAACACUGACAGUGUAUACACUGUCAAUGUAGGAAAGAUAAAUCCAGAUAGUUAUAUACUUUCUUUUUUUUAUGAAUUCAAUAAUGAUUGGGACACUUAAAUCCCAGUGAUUGAGCUAUUUCAAUGCGUGUGCUUGUAAAUGCAUUUGACAGCUCAUAAACCGGUUCUCUUCUUUUGAAUGGUAAGCUACACAUCAAAGAGUCAAAAUUGCUUAAUUAUGUUCAAUAUAAAUGACAAUAACAGGUGGAGGAAUUCAAAUUGAUUCAAUAAUUUGGCUUUAUUGUCUAUCAAUUCGUUUGGAGAGACAUCCAAGCUAACAAAUCAAAUUUGCCACUUUAACAACCGUCCAACUUUUUUCUCCUAUAAUGAUUGUAAUGUAAUAACUACACAUAAAGCGAAAGCAAAGCGGUUAUGAUUACUAUGAUUGGAGCGUAUGCUCAUUGUAUCAAUUAAAAUUCAAAAAAAUUAAGUAUCACUUUGUUAUGGCUUAUUAACCGAUCUUCAAUAUGUUGAGGUCGUUUUAGUUGACCUCAAAAUCAUUCUACAAUCUGAUUCUCAACUUAUUAGUGAAUAGAAUAUGCAGCCCUCCACCGUCAAGUGAGAAGAAAAAUAGCCUGCUCAAGGAUUGCCAGAUCUUGUUGCAAAUAAUCCCGACUUGUCACUUAGGUGAUCGAGCCAAGAAAUUUUGUAGUAAUUUUGUAAUAUCUAUUCUCUCAAACCAUGCUUUGUUAAUUCACCAGAAUGAAAGAAAACCUAUAAAAGUAGCUUCUGAUUUUUGAAGACAAAGUUAAUUAGUUCUAUAAUAACUAGGCAAAUUAUUAUCCUCCAGAAGUUUUAUUCCUUGGUAAGAUGUCAAUUGAUACACAGUACAGCCGCAAGAUCAAGAAGAUCAAGCCUAUUAUUUCGCCUUGAUCAGACAUGUCAAAAAAAAAAGACAAAACAAAUAAUUGACUGUACUUAACCUGGUUUCUUAACCUGGAUUUAAGAUCCAUAGGAGUCUCGUUUUGUCACCAAUUGACUGAACGUGAAUUUUUUGUGAGUCUCCUUUAGAUUACUCUUGUGGGUCGUUUAACUGAUGACUUCCUGAAUGUUUCUAAUUUAAUUGUGUGUGUUUCUUUCUACUGGAAGAAAAAUAAUUGACGGUACUGAAGAAGCUGAUUUUUUUUUGUUGUUUUAAAAGUUAAAACCAGUGUAAAAUCUUGCUCGCUUACUCGAUCAAUUAGCCAGGCCUCCAAAUAGGCAUGCAACUCUGUAUUGGCCCCCUCUCCUUCUUGCAUUCAAUUAAUUUCUCAUUUGUCGAGGAGGACUGUCUGUCCCCACGCUGGUCUAAUGAGCAAUGCCCCGGUAAAAGGUGAAAAACGUCAAAACCAGUUAGCUUUCUAGAUGGAGCUAAAUAGGCUAAUCCUCGUGGGCAUCUAAUGACAGAGAAAUUAUUAAAUUGGCGGAUCUUUUCUGUAAGUAAUUUUUUUUUCAAAUAUAAAUCUCUCACUUACAUCUUCUUUUCCGUACCAUCUAACUCGUCCUCCCCAAAUUGAGAAUUGGCUGAUCUUACCUAUUCAAAAUUAUUCAGAAUUUUUCACGAAAAAAGGUUAGAUUAUCCUAAGAGGUAGAUUUUGCGUUCAAGUCCUCUCCCCCACACUGAAAAGAAAAAUUUUCCAAUUGGACCGACGUACGGCUCUUCUGACUGCACUCCUUGGCCUGAGUUGUUGGCUGGCAGCUAAUCAUUCUGCAUCUUUAAUUUCAACAUCUGUCGCAUCCUAACCAAACAUUAACGAGAGGUCAAACCGAUGACGUUUCCCAAAACUAGUAACAUGUGAAGGUAAAAAGAUAGAAAUAGCCCACAAGCUUUAAUUGCUAAUUGUACCGCACCAAGCUACAUAAAUGCUGAGCACAACAGUUUUAAGCAUUAAAAGGAAAAUUCAUCUAUACAAUUUUGUACCCCAAAAAAAAAAAAAUAAUUUUUAGAGCAACAGGCGGUAAUAAAUUAAAAUUUCAGCAUGAAUUACUCUCAAUUGGUGAUCUUCUAUAACAAAACUCUAGCAAUUUGACUGUAGCCUCUUUGUUCUCUUUGCCUUGACUUGAUUUCUUCGGCACAUCGGAUUGUCCUCUCAAUUUGAUACCCUCCUCCGAUGCUCACUUCUCUUUCCAAAUGGCAGCAGUAACUCUCGAAAACACUUACAUUUACGUGCAACUUGAACCCCAUCAAGAACAAGAAUUCCAGCUCCAAUUUGUUAAUUUCCUUUGUUGUCAAUCCCCCAACUCGUGCAAAAUAAGAAUUCCUAUAAUUCCUGUGAACCAAAUAAACAACGAAAGAAAACUUUCAUUAGACAAAAUAUUCACGGCUUCAUACUACUAGAAUUUUAGGGAAAAAAAAAAGCCUUUAUGAAACAAACGUUAGGGAGUUUGUUAAGCUGCAAAAAUAGGAAUUAUUAUCUUAAACUACUGCAGUUUCAAAGAAAAAUUGAUUACUAAAACUGAAAUUCCAGAAAGAAAGAACUUACAUGUCUUCCACAUAUUUGGAUGCGACCAAAAUAGUUGUGAUAAGAAGCCUAUGUACAUUCCGGGGACUGAUUCGGAAUUCGGAAUAUAACUGGCAAAAUCGAUCGAUAUACACAUAUGCAACAACAUAGACCGAAGGUCCAGCUCUGGUGUACCGGAAAAUUCUCUCCAGGUAGGACUGAAUAGUCAUAUCCGGCGACUCGUGGCAGUCGAAAACCCUGGUUCUAACAUCUUUUGACAACGUUGUCGAGGUCCACGUACAUUUCUUGGCAAUUCUCUCAUUUCUUGCCAAGGUUCUUUCAAUCAGAGAAGAAAGAACGGAAAUGACUAAUGGGAUGUUGGAAUCUUCUUGAUACGAAUGUGAGUAGAGAUCAUUUCUGAGCUUUCUUGGUGAUAUGGAUAUUGAUGAAGACAGGGCCAUUUCAAUUAGCCGAUAAUUGAAGGGAAAGAGAAAGUGAGGGAAAUUUACUCUUUUACCAGCUUUAUGUUGAAGAAGGAUGGAUGGUGGGAAGGAUUAUAUAAGACCGAGUAAGUAGAGUUGGAACGAGUGCAAAAGAGGAUGGGGAAAUGGAAAGUGGGAACUGGGAGCGGGAGGAGAGGCUUAGCUGUGUUUUUUGCGUAUAAAUAAAACUAAAGAAAGUAAACAUGGCCAAUUGGAAGGUGGGUAGGAAAGUAGACUGAUAUCCAAUUACAAGAUUUUUGCCUCCGUUCGAAUGGAGGCAAUGUCCCAACAUGCCAGCCAUUUUUCAGCUUUAAAUAAAUGCAGCAUCAGUUAUAAUAUGUGAUGCAGUACGCACUCAUCAAAUAUUCUACUCUCGUAAUUUUUAAAGAAAAUUAAAAAAAAAAAAAGAAUGACAAUAUCAGGGCUUGUUGGUGUUUACUGUUUAGGGUUCAGGGUGGUGUUUGGAAGCAUCCUGAUGAAUAUUAAAGUCCCCUCCACAUUAUACUAAGAAAAUACCCAUCUUUUAGUCCUCCUUUUAAGUUUAAAGUACGCCCAAUCAAGAGUAUAGGUAAUGACGCUAUAAGAAACUUGUAAUUAUGCUUGUUUGGAUUGCCAAUUCUCCCAAAAGAAUUUUUACGUUUUUUAUGAACAUAUUUUUUAAUCAUUUUUUUAUUUUAAGUAUACUAAAUCAUUACAGUAUAUUCAUCUACAAAAAAAUUUCAAAAAAAAAAAUAGCAAUCCAAACAAACUGCGAAUUUUUUAGUUCGAUGCACAACAAUAGCAGGCAUAAUUGAUUUAACCUUUUUCUUGAUCGUGAACAUUGCUGUUAGAACACAAAUAAUCACUUCUUCAUUUUUUUUUUUGUGUGUGUGUAAGCUCUGUAACUUUUCAUCGAUCAGCAAGAUACGAGUACACAAUUAAAAGGGCAUAUAUGCCUUAAUUCAAUUACAUCACAAGAAAACAGAUAAAUGCAGUAAGCAAAACUCUAGAACCAAACAAAGCCAAACAGAAAAACCAGCUUUCAAAAACUGAUAGUGGACCUUAUUCAAGGCACAACUGCACAUCCACCAGUUACAAUCUACUUUCUCACCCUAAACAAUAAUGUAUGUUUUGCUAUUGUGGAUUGGAUAAAAGCUAGAAACUAAAGCAGCAAGCUAAGGUAAUUAAUGUCGAAUUAGAUCCGCAUGAGGCGGCCUUUGCUAAAUUGGAAGUGACAUUGCAAAUUGGGAUUGCCAUCAUUAAAUGAUUGAGUCUAUAAAAAAAAAAAAAAAAAAAAAGUAAAAGUAGGAACUAGUAAAAUCUUAGAGGUCUUUUUAGGGUUUUGAUACAUUUUUCACGCUAGUAAAACUUGUACAAUUGUUAAAACAAUUGAAGCACUCCGUUUUCAGAUGUGUCGCCGACAGUGAGUGGGAUGAAGACGAAAAUAGGGGUAGGUCUCAGAUUGGGUCCACGAGGGAUGACGGCAUUCAAGAUGAAGACUUUGUCUAGAGAUUUGUGUCAAAAUUCAAUCCUACUAUUUAGACAGCGACUCGUGACUGGUACAAGUUACACGUGCAGUGAAUCCCAUAAUUCCCAUUCAAAUCAAUUUCUUUAUACUAACAAAAAAAAAAUGCAAUUCCUAGUGACAAAAGAUGGAAUUCUGUUGAAUGAAACACAAACAUUGUGGACAGUCUUGAGACUUGACAGUUCAAGAUGGAUAUAAUCAACAGUAAAUUAGAUAAUGUGCUGGUUCACUUGUCUUCGCUUUCCGUAAUUCAAGAAUAUUAUGAGGUGACAAAACAAAUAAAAGCAUUUUGCGAGUGGCAAAAAUUAAAGUGCUUGUUUAAUUUUGAAUUAUUUCAAAAGCAAUCAAAACAUAAGCUUCAUCAAUCGCUGCGGUUGGUCCAGUGACUAAGAAAUAGAGGUUUUUUAUCAUUCGUUUCACUGUCAAGUUUACAAUUCAAAUCCUGAAUCUCAUAGUUGAAAGUAGAAAGAGUGAGAAAAAAAUUGGAAGGUCAAAAAAAAUUUAAAAAGCAUAACAAUUUACUAGCGAUCCUUUAAAAAAGUGAUCAUUUUUAGAUUAUGCAAAUCACACAUGCCGAAGACGAAUGGUGUUAACAUCACAAACACGACAAUGGACUUCCAAAUUGUAUGUCCCUCAAAUUUAUGGCUCGUUUUUAAGGGAAUGUAAUUUGGGACUAAUUUGAACCUAAUCUAGUGUCUUUCCAUGCGCUUUGAGCAUCAUCUAUACAUUUCUCUUUAACUUCGUAUGCAAAAUUCUGCUGCAUAAAUUGGUGGUUCGCGAUCUAGAUAACCCAGAAAUUAAAUUAAAUUAAAUUAGUUCUGUAAGCAGAGACCAAAAAAAAAAAAAUUAAACUGACCGCAAGAUUCAUUUCAUUCCAACUUACAAUGUACAAGUACUUCAAUUCAAGGAUUUGCAUCUGGUGGGAAUAGAAAAUUACAUCUCUUUGUUAAUAAGGAAAAUUUUUGCAACCUUUGACUUCAUCGCCACAUAAGCUUUAUUUUAUUUUCAGCGCUAAAUUGGUUCGAAUUACCCAAAAGAGAAUGAAUAAAAAAAUCAUAUUAAAGAUAUUCCUGUGGGUUCCAUGAAUUAUUCUGGAAAUAAUAAGAGAUCCCUGGUGUUAUAAUUGAUGUACGAUUUUGUACAAUAUCAUGAGUACCAAAACGUAGAUGGGGAAAAGAGCUUUGGACCUACUCACGUCUUUCCCAUAAGUUCCUCUGUAUGGCCGCGAUCAUCAUAAUGACAUAAAACAAUUUCCAGCUAUAUUAUCAAUUAUUUGCUAACAAAAAUCUUCCCCUUUCCACCCAUCAGUCAACAGAAAUUUCGUUUGUUCCAAGUUUUUGUACAUGGAAUAAGUAACAGUUAUCAUGCUGUUGAUUUUGUCCAUGAAUCAUUGCACUGGGAACCUGAGCUUAUGUCGGGCAUCCAUAACACACUGUCCUUGCUUUCUCCUUUCCUGCACUAUUUCUUGGCAUAGUCGCUAGCUUCGUUUUAGGUUUGAUAAUAUAUAUAAUACAUUAUAUGGCAGUUAAGACUUUUGAACGAGAAACCAAAAACUUAUAAAUUCUAAUUUUUUUUCAAUAAGCAAUUGAGUUCUGUCAAGCAAACAUGUGCUCGUUUUUGUGAUAAUGUGACAAGUUAGAACAGUCACCAAUGUAGUAUACAUGCCAAGGUCAAGCUUAUAAUAAGCAGUUGAAAUAAAAAUAAAAAUAAAUGAUACAGUGAUGAUUUUAAUGUGGAUAUGAGGACUACGACCAAACGAAGCUGUACAAUUAGCUAUAGGAUAAUUUUUUCAUACACUGUUAGUGUAUAAUUUUAUUUUACAUUAGUAGGUUUAGAUCAUACUAUAUAACAUGACAUCAAUUUUAUAUCCUUAUACUAUAUAAGAACGAGUUUAGGGCUAGAUUUCAACCGCAGGGAUGAAGCUAUUUUGAGAAUGUGAGAGUGUUUGAAGAGUAAUUGGAACAUUGAGUACAAGUCAUUAUAGCUUUAAUUUCACUAUAAUUACUUAUAUAACCUUUCAGACAUUUAAGGAUAGGGGCAGGUUUGGUAUGUUACAAUGUUUGGUGCCAAAUUGAGUAUCAAGUACAACUGAAUAAAGCUUGUGUUUUGAUAAAAUCACAUAAAAGUCCUUUUAAUCAUUUAUUAUACUAACAUCAAAGCCUUCCAAUUUCCUGAAACCUUUCUCAUCCGUUAAGAAAUUAAUUGGAUUUUAAUUAUAAUUAAUUAACUUAAUUAUUAUCUAAACAAUCAUUAUCAUAUUUAUGUCUCCAUGUUUAGCCGAUACCCUUUCUUCUUUUUCGGUUUCACCUCUUUGGUUUUAUUAUGGCUAUUAAAUAUUUGGUGGAAUGCAUAGCUUUUCCUUUAAAUUGAGGUGAGUUCUUUGGAUUUGUCUUCUUCGACUGUAGUUUUUUUUUUCUGAUAAUUGGUUUAUUCAAGAACUCCAUAUAGUUUGCCUUUUGAUACUUUUAAUUCCAAAAACUGACUAAUUGUAUUGUUUUCCUUAGUAGAUCUCAGAGAUUCUGUCUCUGGUCAAAGUACAAUUUGAGAUAAUGUUAUCACUUUCUAAAAUAAUCAGAAAAGCAAUUUUAUCAUCUUCUCCUCCUCGGCCAAGGUAUUAUCUCUUUAUUUAAAUCAAAUAACCUUAUUUCUCAUGAACUUUCUCCUAUUGUUCUUGACUCCAGGGAUCUGUUGACUACAUUCCAGCAGUUAUGGUUCAAGUAGUUAUUUUUUCAUGUAAUAUGAUUUGGAAUUCAGCUUGUGUUUAUUUUAAUUGAAAAUUUUAUGAUUGUAAAAUUUAUUAACUUAGAAUUUUGUACUUCAUUGAAACUAAAAAAGAAAAUUAAUCAUGCUACAUUGUACUAAGAUGUCAUUUGCACUCUAUUUGCUUUCCAUGUUAUGAUCUCGUUCUUGUAUUAUACUGUUUAUAUAGUUUCAAAUACAAAAAAUUUACUUUUUUAUGCUAUUUAAAAGAAUUUGUAGUGAAUCUUGAUGAGUUUAAAUGCUUUAGCUACAGCACCAUUUUGAUUGCAUUGUAUUAAUUCAUUUACUCAUAAUUGUAUGUUGUACAAUGAUAAAUAAUGUUUCUUGAUUUGAUUGAAGCAACUAUUAUCCAUAGUUCAAACAAGUCAAUUAAGUAGAGAUGUUAUAUUGAAUACUUAUACAAGUAAACAUUGGAAAAUAUCAUUAAGCAGUUUCUACCUAUAGUUUGCAAUUCGAAUUCAUAUGAGGAAUUUCUUCUGAUUUUAGUUACCAUUUUCUACAAUUUCAAAUUUAGAAAAUAUUAUUUGCACCAAUUUUUUAUAAUCAAGAUAGUUUCAAUUCAAAUCUUAACAAUUAUGCAGAUUUGAACUUAUUUAUGAGAUUAUAAAGAAAUGCCCCUAGCAAAAAACACCAAAUUUGAAUAGUUUCUACAAAAUUUUGAAAAAGACCACUUAAGUUUCUUAUUUAUCUAUCAUUUUUGGGCAUUAUUACAUAUCUUUGUAAGAAACAUGUGAUUAAGUCGUAUUAUGCCCACCAAAUUAUAUAAAUAGUUAGUCAAAAAUAAAAUUAUUUUAGAUUAGAUUGGAUGCAAAAUGAUUGAUGGAUAAACUUGACUUGAUAAUUCAGGUUGAGCUUAAGUUGAGGGAGAAAUCAGAAGCAUUGCUUGAGAGAUCUUUCACGAACAUAUAUAGAUUCGAGAGAUGAAGGGUCCAAUUGAUACUUUAAAAUGUUUUAUCAUCUUGGAUAAGUUUUAGAAGAGACCUUUGGAUACUUUUCAAUUGCACUUCAAACAUUUUUACAUUUUCAAACUAUCCUUAUCUUUGUAGUUGAAAUUCAAACAUAAUAUUUGAUCACAACGGAUUCUUAUAUAGUAUAACGAUAAGGAUGUCUCAUUGCACAUUAUUUUUAUUGACUCACUAUGUAACUUAUGAUUUUUCUAUUAAAAUCACAUGAUAAAAUCAUCAUACUUCAGUUCUUAUACUACAAAAUAUUAAACAAUAAUUAUUAAUUAUCUUGAAUCACUAGCACCAAAUUCCCGCGCGUCGCACGGGCUGUCCCUCCCUAGUAUGUGGCAUACAUUCAAAACUGUUAGUGUUAAAACAAUCUCUGUGCAUAAUAAAUUAAUCCUCAUCUAUAUUUGACACUCUAAUUAUGGCAAAACUCUACCAUCUCUUUUGGGUGUCAUACCCAUGAUUGUAAUCCAAUAAACUCUUGUCACAUCAUUCAAUAAUUUAAACUCUUAAAACCAUUUAAGGGUUGAUAUCUCUUUUUGUUACAUCUAAUAGUAAAUUAAUAUGUAAUGGCAUGGCACUCAAAAGGUACCGUAGAACUCCCUCUAAUUAUGAUAGUGCAACUUUUUUUUUUUGUAACAUACAAGGGAAAAAAAUAAAAAUUUACAACUUUUCUGGUGGUAAGCUUUUACCUUUUAGAUAAGAAACUCUAGAGGAGAUGAGACAACAUUAAUCUUUUUUGUUUUUUUAAAAGAGACUCCAAACCUUAUAAAAGAGAAAACUUAAGAGUUAAAUCAAAGAUGUCACGAUCACCCGACUAAUAUCCUUAUUGGUUAAGAGUGCGUUUGAUAAAAUAAAAUUUUGAAAAUUGAAAUCUGAAAUCUGAAUUUAUUAAAUUAUUAAGUACUAAACCUAAUACAUUUGAGUAUAUAUCACACUAAGUGAUAAACUUAUUUUUGGGAGUAAGUUUUACUUAGAAAAUUCAACAUCAAUUAAUUUAAAUGUUCAAUUUUUUAUUAUCAAAUGCAUGUGAACAUGUUAAGAUUUGAAUCCAUUAAAUUUAAAACAUGUUAAAAUUUGAAUUCAUUAAAUUUAAAUCCUGAAUCUGUUUAUCAGGUAGGACCUAAGUUGAGACUUGAAUGACAACAUUAAUCUCUUAUUAGCACUCAUACAAAAAAGGACACUAUACUCUUGGGCUCUGAUCCUCAUAAAACAUUUUGAUUGUCCUUAAAGAAUAUUUUUGGCUAGCUACUGAUAAGCAAGUUGUGGGAGCCCAUUUUAUCAUUGUAUGGAAACUGAAAGACUGAACUCGAUCCAUCCCAAAUUCAUGUCCGACAACUGCAGUUAAAGGCCUCCUCAUACUGGACUACAGGCUCGACUUUUGGUCUAUAAGUUGCAUUGUAAAAAGUAAUGCCUUCAUUUCCAGAAGGAAUCAGCAAAAUUUUCUGGGUUCUUUAAGUGCGAAUGAUUAAUUCAAUCACUUCUUGGUGCCUUCCUAGCUCCUACCCUGUUUGCUGCAUGUCUAUAUGGUGAUUUAUGAGUCAGAGGUGAAUAAUUCUAAUAACCAAAAGCAUUAUGUAGGAGGACACCAAGAAGCUGAAUAUGGCAAAACAAGUAAACAACUCCUUAACCAAAAAAGACUUGUUAUUUAGGAGGAAAAAGGUUUGAGGAAAUUCAGUGAAAUGUAUUUUUACACCAUUUUACACUGUUUGCAAGAUGGGGAUAGUUCCCAUAUUUGCUACUAAUGGAGAGUUUUAGAUAUUUUGAGUCCUAAAUGCUCACCUACCAGAACAAGACAGUUGAUAAAAUAUUCAUACAUAGGACGAAUACAGUCAAAUAGGCCAAUUCUAUUCAUCAAUCCGGCAAAAAGAUGUCGCCAGAAAUAACUACUGUAUAGCAGCCAGAAAUGAGAAAUCUACGGUGUGGCGAAUCCAGAUACAAAUGCAAUCCAGGAUUUAAUGGCACCAAAACAUCUUUAGGUUCUUAAUGGAAUACCAACUUUGAAAUUUCUUAGUUCAACCAAGUCAUUACCAUAGGCAAGGGGGAGUAAUUCAACAAUGGGAUAUGCCGCAUUAUGCUCUAGUAUGCAUAAUGCUGGAAAAUUAUUCUAGAUCAUGCAUGUAUUCUUUUUUACUCUUUAAAAGGGAUUCUGUUAAUGUUUGUUACUGAACUUGCUAUGUAAGUACACGCAACUACACUUUUCAUGUCUUUUUUGUUAAAACCCUAACGUUAACGAAUGCUCAAAUGGGUUCCCGUUAGCCAAACCGUUAAAGAAAAAAUCCCAAUUGGAAAAUGACAAUUCUUUUAACCAUGUUACGAAUCCCAGUUUGAAAUCCCUCGUAACGAAUGCUCAAAUGGACUUCCGUUAGCCAAACUGUUAAAGAAAAAACCCCAAUUGGAAAAUGACAAUUCUUUUGACCAUGUAGAUUACAAAAAAAAAAAAAGAAAUGCAUCUAGUUUUCAUUAAAUUUACAAGUGUCUCUAUUUAUGGAGUUAUAAUUCGAAUAAAUAACGGGACAUUUUCAUCAUAUCAUACUAUAAAUUAACAAAAAAGUCUAUAAACAGAUAAAGAAGCAGUACCAUUAACAUUUCCCAAACAAGAAAUAGCAUCACACACACAGAGGGAGUAGCAGACUGCGUACUAAGGCACAAAGUAUCUUAGAUGGAUACCAAUCAUGGCAUUCCUCAGCUGAUGCUUUAUAAUCAUGGAAAAAGAAAAAAGUUGUGAUUAUCGAUUCUACAAUUAAGGCAAAGCAAAUGGUCCCGCAAGCAAACGCUGGCAAGGAGGGCAAUAAAUAUUGGAAGAGAAAUGUGAUAAUAAUAACAAGGUCCAAACUCCAACACGACGAUUAAUAGCAGUGAACUGGGACAGGAAGGAUUUGCGCAGAGCAGUUCACAAGAGGAGCAAGUAUGUGGUUAUCCGAAUGAACAAGCGUCCCCUUGAUUCUCCAAUCAUUUGUGUUAUAGCUUCCGCGUCUAUUACUAUUGCACUGAAAGCGAUGAAGUUGUAAGGUUGCGGAAACAUCAAAAUCAUAUGGCAGUACCUUGUGUUUUCAACGAGUCCUUUCGGAAAGGGAAAUUACUCCGUUCUUUUAUACACAUAACCAAAAUGGUAACUCUGGAAAAAUUUCGAAAAAUACAAUGAAGGGAAAGUUAUUUUCUAAAAUAAAAAUAAAAAUUGAGUUAUUCUCUUGAAUUUCCUAUCCCAGAAGGAAAGAGAGAAUCAGUGAAGGGAUUAAUACAGAAACACAGCUAGAAAGCAAAUGGCAACGAUGAUAUGAGUCAAAGUUCCAAAGGUGUAAAAGCCUAUUUCCUUUUUUUAUUUUUCUCUCAGUUUUCUACAGUUAGAUAAGAUUGCAUAAUUGUCUUCCAUCGUUGACUCAUUUUAGCAAGACGAGAAACUUUUUGCCACAUUUACUUUACAUCCUAAUUCUGGCCCUAGUUAGUGACAUCUCUGCAGUAUCCUUCUUUCUUUUUUUCUUUUUUUUUUUAUAACCCGGAACAUGCCCUGACCCGAACUCUUAGGACCUGAGCCGGCACACCAAAUCGGAGGGAAGCCGGCAGCCCAAUACAACUUUCCCUGGCAAGUCAGAAUGUGCGACGCAGCGGGCACGAAUCGAACCCUGAUCAGUGGGGAAACCAACAACACAAGGCCGACCCCUCAACCGCUGCGCCAUAUGCCCUGGGGCCAGUAUCCUUCUUUUUGCUAAUGUGAUGAUGGGUUGGUCCAAGUAGUAGGUCUAAUUUUAUACUUUUUGAUAAAACAGAUAAAUUCUUUACAAAAAAGUAGUUGCAAUUCUGGAAGUGAAUGACACUUUUAAAUUAUUAAUACUUGAUUCACUCUAUUUUUUUUAAUGUGCUUAUUUGGUGCCCCCAAAUUUUAACCCCCAAAUUUUAAUGUGUGUAUAUAUUAAGCUUCUCCUAUAAAGAUAUAGGAGAAGCUUAAUAUAUACACACAUUGUUAGCUUAAUGUAUAGGAGAAGCUUAAUGUAUUACGCAUUGUUAGCGUAUAAAUUCUUUUACAUUAAUAGGUUUAGAUAUGUCACAUGUAUAAAAUGUAGAUCUUAAAUUGUCUAAACCUGCUAGUAUAAAAAUAUUUUUACAUUGACAAAAUAUAAAAGAAUAAUCCUAUAUACAUAUAUAUAAAUAAAACUUACUUACCAAAUAAAAAAGAAUUACCCUAAGGCUCGUUAAUGAAAUUUACAAAAGGAUAGUUCCUUAGGGCAUUCUAAGGGCCUAUUUGGGAUUGUGAUAAUUUAUUGAAAGAUACUUCACGUAUUAGAGCUUUUAAUAAAAGCAUUUAUUAAGUGUUCAAAUGCUUAUAAAUAUAUUGUUUGGAUAGAUAGUAUGAUAAGUACUUAUUGUAUUGGAUAAUAUGUAAGUUUAAAAAUUUUAAAUGUAUAUAUCUCUUUAUUUAGUUCGUAAGAUAGGAUGAAAUGCUUAAAUUUAAUGUUUUAUUUUUUAAAAUACAAAAAGUUAUUUUAAAAGUACCAAAUUUUUGUUUUUGCUAAAGUGUUUUUAACACCAAAAGAUUUAUUCCUAUUUUUAUGAGAUAAUAUUCACUAGACACCUCAAAAGUGCUUUUAGUAUUUAAAAAUAUUUUUUUAUCAAAAACACGGCAACCCAAACCAGGCCUAACUAACCUUGCCACUGUUUUGAUAGCCCCCCACUCUCUCUCUAUCUCCACUCUAACUUUACUCUACUUCCCCAAUAAAUUUAUCUUUUCAUCUUCUCCAUCUUAUACUACAUGGUUCUCUAGGUACUAAUCAGGGCAGAAUUACCCAUCAAUAUGUUUGCAAUUAUAUGGCCAUUUUUGUUUGGAUCGCACAUUAUUUAUACUUUAUUUACGCACAUUAAUUUUGUUUAUAUCAUCAACACAUUUUCAAUCAUAUUUUUAUCUCAUAUAUAUUACAUCAAAAAAGUAUUAAAAUAUAUUUUUUUUCAAAAAAUUAUCUUAAGUAAUCUCCGAUCCAAACACAGGUCCAAAAGAUAAGUAGUUUGCCUGGUUUUUAUCUGUGUGAUGCUUUAAUGAGUGACUCUUCCUAGAUGUCGACUUUUCAACAUUUGUCAUAUCAAAUUGAAAGACAUGUUAACCCAUUGUAGCCGUUUAGGUGACAAUAUCGGCUCUAUCAACAUUGAAAGAUUGGUACCCAAACGGGAGGGAAUCACACUUUGCGACUCAAAAGUCAUUGACCUUAUGAAAACACGUAUCCACGUUCAUAUCCUGUAGCCAUCGUGUGGCGAUUGGUGAAGCUUUACUUCAGUUCACAAUCUUUUUAGCAAACACAUCAUGUUAUGCAGGUUUGUCUUCUAUAGGACAGCCUUGGUAAAGGUUUACCUAGUAGCUAGCUAGAUGAUGGGGAUGGAUUUUGUUACUAUAUUUGAAAACCCAUUGACAAGAUUUGAAGAAAAUGGACAAUUACGCGUCAUUUAUUAAUCACAUUCUUUUACUUUAGUUGAAAACCCAUUGAUAAGAUUUAAGAAAAAAGGAUAGUUACGCAAUAUUUGUCAAUCACAUUAAUCAAUCGCCUUUUUUUUACGACGGGUUAUACAUUGUAAAUCUCAGCAAAAGUUACAACUUCUUGCUUGGUUUAGUUUAUCUAAUUUUUUUCAUAAUCUUCACCUUGCAGCUUUAUUAAUUCGUAUAAAUAUAAAUGCAAAUUCUGAUUACAUCUAGCUAGUUGUCAAGAAGACCGUUUCAAUUGAAAAAGAAAUUCAGCUACACAAUUAAAAUGCAUAAGGUGGAACGAAGUGUCGAGCUAUUUAUUAGUAAAGCUUGAAACCAGCUCUCCGUUUGGAUUAGCUGUUUUUGGGGUUGUUUUUCAAAAACAGCACUGUAGCAUUUCGUUUUUGAAAUACAAGUCCGUUUGGAUUAGUUGUUUUUUAGGUUGUUUUUCAAAAACUAUAUGAAAAACUUUUACUGUAGAUGUUUUUUGGAUUAUUUUUAGAGGUUUUUUAAAACAUAUUUUUGGGUAUUUUUAUAAUUUUAUUUUUACAUACAUUUAUGCAUUUAUAAAUAUUUAUAAAUAAAUAUAUUUAUAUAUUCGCUAAAAAAUAUAUAAAUGUAUUAUAUUAUAUAUAAUAAAUAAUAUAAAUAUAUUUAUAAAUGUAUAAGUGUAUAUUAUUAUAAAUGUAUAAAUUAUAAAUGAAUAUUAUAUAAAUGUAUAAAUGUAUAAAUGUAUAAAUUUUAUAUUUUUAUAUAAAUAUACAUUUAUGGAUUUAUAAUACAUUAAUAAAUAUUUAUAAAUAAAUAUAUUUAUAUAAAAAUAUAAAAAUUUAUUAAAAAUUUAUUAUAUUAUAUAUAAUACAUAAUAUAAAUAUAUUUAUAAAUGUAUAAGUGUAUAUUAUUGUAAAUUUAUAAAUUAUAAAUGUAUAAAUGUAUAAAUUAUAAAUUAUAAAUUAUAUAUAAAUGUAUAAAUUAUAAUUUUAUUAAUAUUAUGUAUAAAUGUAUUAAUAUAAUUAAUAUAAAUGUACAAAUGUAUUAAUAUUAUGUAUAAAUGUAAAAUUAAUAUUAUGUAUAUUAAUAUAAAUGUAUUAAAUUAUGUAUAAUACAUAAUAUAAAUGUAUAUUAUAAAUAUACAUUAAUAUAUAUAUUAUGUAUAAAUGUACAUUUAUAUAAAUGUAAAAUAUAUAUUAUAUUAUAUAUAAUUUAUAUAAUAUAUAAUAUUCAUAUAAAUAUAUUAUAAAUAUGUAAAAAUAUUUUUUAAGUAAAAUAAAAUAUUUAUAAUAUGUAAAAAUAAAUAUAUAAAUAUUUAAUAUAUAUAUAAUAUACAGCAAUAUUAAUUAUAAAUAUUAUAAUAUUAUAAAUAUGGUGUUUAUAUAAUAUUUCAAUUUGUAAUAUUUAUUGUAUAUUUCAUUAUAUAAAUAUUCAUAUAAUAUAUAAUAUAUAAAUAUAUAAUAUAUAAUUUUCAAUUUGUAUAAUAUACAUAAUAUUGUAUAUAUAUAAUAUAAUAUAUUAUACGUAAUAUACAUUAUUACAUUAUUACAUAUUAUGUAUAUUAUAUAUUAUACCUAACAUUAUUAGACAUUAUUAUACACAAUAAUGUACAUAAUAAUAUUAUACAUUAAUAAUGUAUAUAUUAUAAUAUAAUGUACAUAAUAUAUUAUGUAUAAAUAUUUACACAUUUAUGUAUACAAUAUUACAUAUUAUGUAUAUUAUAAUAUAUUAUGUAUAAUAUUAAUGUAUAUAAAUAUUUAUAUAAUACAUAAUAUAUAUAAUUUUCAAUUUGUAUAUUUCAAUUUAUAUUAAUAUAAUAUAUAUAUAUAAUAUACAUAAUUGAAAUAUAUAUAUAUGUAGUUGUUUUUGAUAUAAUGUUUGGAUAUGGUGUUUUUGGAGUUGUUUUAGAAAUACACAUUUACUGUAGCAUUUGGGAUGUGAAAAACAGUUUUUCAAAAACAGCCCCAAAAAUAAGGAUCCAAACACACCCCAGGUUUUCUACAAGAAGUUAGUAUUAUUUAUUUGGCGACUUUGUCAGACUUGUUUAGUGAUCCCAGCUGCUACAUUUUGUCGGGAACAAAAUUUGCAGUCUUUCUUCAUUCUUUACUACGCCAUCAUUAUGUCUACUGAAAUUCUUUAUUGCUGCAUGAUUGCAUCUCCAAUUCUCCAGUCAAUUACGUGCUUUCACAUUUUGACUCCAACUUAGGCUACUUCUUCUUUUUUAUUUUUUUUUGUCAGCAAAGAUACAUUUGUAUAACCUAUUUUAUCCUAAUGUAGGAGGGGAUGGGGAGCCUAAAGAGGUUGUGAUAGGGCUUAAUGAGUAUACAGACUCCCAACUUAGGCUACUUGAUUGAUCUACUUUUGAAAGUAGUAGCUUUUCCAAGUAAGCAAUGAUGAAGUAAUCCCUCGAAUAGCUGAAGCAGAGCUCAACUUGGAAACAUUGAACAUGACACUUUACCAAAUAUAUAUACAAAAAUCCAUCCAUUUUUUGCAACUUGCAAGCAACUGUAUCGUGAAGCCUUGAUUCAAUAGUCAUUUCUAUUGCAUGCAGCGAGAGGCAGAGGCCUGGGCAAAUUGUUGUCAGGGACGCAGAUGAAGAGAAAACUGGGGAAAAAAUUAAGAGAAAAUUGAACUCCGAAACUGGGAAAACAAGAGUUUAUAUAGCACAUCGGAAAAUGGUUGGAAGGCUCUUUUGCCUCGUGUUCUUAGUGGGAGGGGUAAUGAUUUCUCAACAAAGUUAAUUCUCUCAAGGUUGUUGGACUAACGGAUUCAGCAAAAAUCUGCAAGUACUUCUUCUUUUCGUGCAGCUUAAUUUCUCAAUGGGAAGGAAAAUUAAUUGUGCGCUAGCUCUCGCAUGCAUUAACUAACAAAGACACUGUUUUCAAUACAAAUUAAUUUCGUCCAUUUGGAUAUAUAUAUCACACUUGUUGAAUAGGGUAUCAUCCAGGAGUUUGAGAAAAAGCUAUAUCAUUUAUUUUUCGAAGCAGGGCCUGGAGGCUGUUGAAAUUGCUGGUACAAUGCUGCCAUCCUAGAAUAAGCAUCCAUAGUCAUAGGC